RNAcentral lists this long non-coding RNA (53468 nucleotides) under Physcomitrium patens. Its description in RNAcentral is "long non-coding RNA (PPAT_LNC014748)". The record is from RNAcentral. Lineage: Eukaryota; Viridiplantae; Streptophyta; Bryopsida; Funariales; Funariaceae.
GUGUUUGUAGUUGAUUGAUAGGUUAGAAACUUGAUCAAAAAAUUAAUCACAUAUUGAUGGAUUGAAAAACAAGCUAAUUAUGUGGCAUAUAUAUAAAAAACUUGCCUUGCAAGUUAAGAUAUAUAUCUUACAAAGUUAAUACAUUUUAGAGGUGUGAGCCCAAAUUUCACUACUCAAUGAAAUUGAUGCUAUACAAUAAAUUCAAGAGGUAGAAUGAAAGAAUUUUCAAAUGUAUAAUUGUUAAGUUAAUUUAAAUCUUAGUAUUUGUGGUUCAAUUAACUUUAAGCCUUUCAAGUAAUAGUUAUUAAUAAUAAAAGUAAAACUAAAAAUUAAAGAAAAGAAGAUUAAGGUUAAAAGUUAAUAAUUAAAUUAUAAAAGUUAUAAAUUAUUAUAAAAAUAGAAGUAAAAGUGGGAGUAAAAAGAGAUAAAAGCAAAGGUACCUUGAUAACAUCUAAGAAUUGAGGGCAACAACUCUUUUCUAUUCAAAAAUUUACCACUAAUUGUAAUUAUUUUUAAAUUAAAUAAUUUUUAUUUUUUUGAAAAAUUAACUUAAAGUUGCUUUUGCUCUAAUAAAUUUAAAUUCAAUUCAGUAUCUAAGUCGCAAGUAAUUCUCCUUCAAAUUCAAGUGACCAAGUCUGCCAUUGAAGGAAACCUUUCUCUACUUGGAAAUUAAUCAAAAAUUCAACUUUUCUUUAAACUCAAUGAAAUUUAUGCCAUUAGAAGCUCAGCUUAAAGAUUCACCUACUCUCAAAAUUUCUUAAUAAUCCAAUUAGAAGGCAGAGAGAAAUACCUUUUUAAAGAUGGGUGAUUUAAACUGCCAAGGCAGCCGACCCCCGUGCACUCAAAAUUUUACUAAAAUUUUGUCCUUACUCCAAAUCAAGUGAACCUUACCUUGUUGGAAAUUUAACACCAAAAAAUACAACCAAAAAAAAUUCACAUUGAAACUCAAAAAUUUAAUGACUGAUUGAGGGAAAUCCGAGGCUCUUCAAAUCCUUGAAAUAUUUGAGAGGCCGAGAGAGCUAUCUACCACAAUGGCAUAUGUCUUAAAACCCAAUGACCACCAUCCACUACUUAAGAUCCAUGCACACACAACCACAAGUUCACAAUGAAAUUAAAAAUCAAAAAUAAAAUUAAGAUAAGGUUUUAGGGCCAAAAUUUGGCAUGGCUUUGCCCUUCACCAAAAGAAAAGAGAAAAAAGGGCUUGGAGAACCAAGCCACUCUUAUACAAUUGAGUGGUGGCUUGUGGAAGGGUGGCCACAUUUCUACCUUUAAUCUCUAAGAUCCCUAAUAUAAAUCUAUGACCUUCAUUCAUCCAAAAGUCAAUUUUGUUAUUAAGGUUGAUGGCUCUUAUAAGUAAUCAAGAAAGAAUUUUUUGGUAAAUCUAACUUUGCCAUUGUGUUCAAUAUAACUUUUAUGCUAAGAUCAAUUACUCGUAUGCCUCAGUAAAUGUUCAAUUAUAAUUUUUAUGAAAAAAUUUAUCUACAAGGAUUUUGAUGAUUCUUGUAAAAUUCUUCAAAAUGAGAAUUUCAUUGCUCCACUCGUGUUUUGAAGGAGAGGGCUGAUCUUAUUUUCUUCACUCCACAAGGUGAAUCCAAUGCCAUUAUUGCAUUCAAAAGACUUCUAUUAAUUAUAAGAAUGACUAUGCCACUUGAAUUUAUUAAAUUUUGAAAAAAUCUCAAAAAUAUUAAUAUUGAAUUUCAUUAAAUCUUUUAGAAAAUCAUAAUUCUAACUCACUCUAAAUCAUAUGAGAUGUUUGUAGGUGAACUCUUAGGCUCUUAGUCAACCUUCAUAGUAGUGACUAACAACCUCUAAAUUAUUAAAACUAACUAAUUUGUUAUUCUAAUUUUUUAACUCUUAUCACUUUGAUCCUAAUUAAUCUAAUUUAAAAAAUUAGGCCAUGAUUUAUACCAUCAAAGGUUGAAAUCCUAAAAAUUAUAUAAAACUAAAUUCUACUUAUAUAAAUCCUAAUCUAACAUGCUAAAUUAUCAUAAAUUAAGAAAAUAACGAAAAUUUAAAUUUUAGAGCAUAAUUAAGAGUUUUUAGGAGAUCUUAUAGAAAAUUGCCAUGUAGCUCCUAAUUAAGAGUAUAUAUGGAGGCAAGAGUGAAGCCUUCUUUAUUCUUCUCAAUGCCUUUCUAGUCCUUAUUUUUGUUUUAAGACUUGUUAAUCUUUCUGUCUUUGGUAAGAAUAAUUUUAGUUUAAUAUUAUAUUAUCUUUCAGUGAUUUCAUAGUCUUUUUGAGUGACACAAGAGUGUAUUGAGGUUUUUUUUCCUUCAAAAUCCAUGUCCUAGAAAAUCACUCAACUUUCAAUUGAGAAGAAUAAACAAUUUAUAUGAUGCCUAUAGCUUGCACAAUUUAAACUUUGUAUGCCAAUUACUACAUAAUACUAUAAAAAUCUACUAGAUUAUAUAAAAUUACCAUUUUUAUUAAUUUUUAAAUUUAAAUUAUAUUAUAUAAAAUAAAGCAUCAUAGAUGAUCUCUAAGAUUAUUUUAUUUUAUUUUGUUAUUAUUGUUGUUGUUGUUAUUAUUAUAGUUUAUUAUGAAAUAGUGCAUCCUUAGAAAAUAUUGACAAAUAAGUUUCAAGAUGAUAAAUUCUAAUGGCUACAAGGUCAAGAUUCUAUUUUGAUUUCUAGUAGUAGCACACUGAUUUAAAAGAAGGAUAGAAAAUGAGUGCAUGAAAUCCAAAAUACCAAAUUAUUUUUUUUGAAGAAUUUAAGAUAGUUGAUCUAUCAUUGAGUAAUUUUGCUAGGCCAACAAUUUAUUAUCAAGUAGUUUUGAUAUUUUCUAAUUAGAAAUAAAUCAAGGGCCUAUCAAUAAUAAUAUUAAACUAUGAAUAAUAUAAACAAUUCAUUGUACUUAGAAUCAAUAUGCACAAAUUAUCAAAAAUUAAUUUUUUUAUUAAUAGAAUGAUAUAUAUUUAUGGUAGUUGAUUAUGCAUUGGCAAAUUAAAGAGCUAUUAGAAUAGGAUUGGAAGAUGGAAGAUGUGUGAGAUAUUAUUUGGAGAUGAGCAAAAAUAAAGAAAAAUAUUGGAAAAAAUCCAAUUUGAACAUGAUGGGUUACUUACAAUUGAAUGUUUGAAUUUUUGUUGCAUCAUCCACACAUUUACAUCCGUAGGUAGCACAAAAUUAGAUAAAAUUUGAUAGCAUAAUUAGAUACCAAACAUCACGGUUUUGUUAAAGUUGGAUUCUUGGUUUUGUAAUCCACCACUAGUAGAAACUAGAUUGGCCUAUACGUUGAAAAUUGGUCAAAGGGAAUCUUCACCUAAAACAUUUAUAUAAAUUCCAUUUUUGGACCAAAUUGUGGAAAAACACUAAAAAUACUCUUUCCCUACAUGGAAUAUUUAUUUUCCAUUUUUACACCUACUAGCUAUAUGCUGAAAUGCUUAAGGUAUCAGAAAUAAGUUAUCAGAAAUACCUUAUGAUGGUCCAUCUGUAUACGGGGCAUCUGUAGACACACAAUGACAAUUGUGUACCACAACUCUAACAUUACUUGAGAUGCACGGAAUGCAAGAGCUUCCUGGAGGCUCUACAAGGAACGAACUUAUGAAACAGCGUCCCUGUGUGAAACAUUCUCUUGUCUCUGUUCAUCAUAUUGUUGUGUUGACUAACGUGUAAUGUCCUGAGUCACGUUAUCCGUUAUCCCCUUCCAAAUAGUUAAAUGACCAGCAUCGCGGUAUAUGCUCCCUAAACUGUGCGAAGUUAUUUCAGCCUUACACUGACACUGACUCUCAAUGUCCUCUUCGAAACGGUUACUUCGCGAGUACAAUGGUACUUUGGAACAUAUGCGUAGGCAAUUCGGACAAAACGACCAGGAGGCAUCCAAUACUUUCCUAUGGGGUCUUCGAGAGGUAACAAACAGAGCCCCGAUAUUCAACGACAAUGAGAAUGCCGUCAACCAUGUCAUAUAAACCGGCAGCCCAGUCAACAAGAGUCGUGCUAAAAACUACAUGGUGGAGCCUCCCGCGACAACAACUGCAGUUGAAAGGCUUUGGAGUGAUCCUGAAAACCGCCUACCUUGGGAGAUGGACGACUACAGGGAGAGGGGGAGGGAGAGGGCGAUUUGAAUGGUACGUUAGGACCAGCCUUCCGCUUGCAAUUGUGUCUUCCUCAAUCGCUCUCACGUCGCCGUUGGUGGCACAGUGUCCUCUCUCUCUCUCCCUCACUCUUUCACUAUCUCUGACAGUAGGAAAUUUAUCGUGGUCUAGCUAUCCGGGUCGAAUGCAAUUUCUCUUGUUGUUUGUAACCCUCUGGUUGUGGUCGAGCGGGAAUCAUGGCUAUGAUUCCUGGUCACUUAUCCUGAAGCUCUGAGUCUGUCAUAUUCGUAGUUGAAACGAUUCGUGUAGGGGAUGUGGAAGGCGGUUUGGAAUAGACAGGAAGGCUGGGCGCGUAUAUGAAGAUCGGGAUCUGUUUAGAGCAUUGAUAAUGGCGAGGCGUGGGCUGCUUGUGAGAUGACGAAAAAUGACGGCUGUAACAUGCCACGUUUUAGGUAUCCAAUGACUUAAGCUGCAAGCAUCUGAAGUUUAACACACACACAGAUUAGCAAGACAAAAUGUGACCACUAUUUCAACUGUGCAAUUGCAAUCAAAUUACUUUAGGGUAUUGUCAUCAAGAUUCUGCACAAUGAGCCAAUAAUCUCUAUGAUCACGGAAUGAUUCAACAUAAAAGAUUAGCCAUUCUACUUUGUAUAUCAAUCUAUACACUCCUUAUUUUACAUUUACAUGUAGUAUUUACUCCCACUUGUUCAUGUUGACUUUAGACAACCAAAUGUUAUAUUUUAUCUCCCACUAAGUUAGCAAUAAAAGUAAUUAUGCCCAAUAAGGAAUGGAGUUGAAUAAAACAAUCUUAGAGAAGAACCUUAGUAAGAAUGUUAGCAAUCUGGUUUGAUAUCAAAAUAUAAGUGAAUUCAAUUUUUUGUUUCUCCUAGAGCUCAUGGAUAAAGAAUUAUUUUAUUUCAAUAUGUUUUAUUUGUUUAUAAAAAACAUAGUUCUUGUCAAGAGCUAUUAUUCUUUAAUUGUUGCAUGAAAUAAUCAUUAGUGAGAAUUGAGGUAUUGCAAUAUUAUAUAAGAGAUAAGAUAAUUAAAUGGAUUUUUUUAUUAUCUUUGCUAUUGCUAAAAGUUGAGUAAGAGUCAUGGAGUUUGUGGUACAUAGUUGCUAUUGAUUGUUCUAUGAUAUGGUUCUACCAACUAAAGAAAAUACAUAACUAAUGCAACUCUUGUGGUUAUUCAAACUCUUUUGGUUAAUGCAUAUAAUUUAUUUAUUUAUUUAUUUAUUUAUAUAGAUGGUAAUUUAAGAAGGUAGUACUAAUGUCAAAUUAUUAGAGCUCUAUAUCAUGAAUACAAGCAAUAGCAAAAAAUACACAAAUAAAAUAAUAUUCGACAAGCAAGCUAAAAGUUUUGUUAUAAUUUAUACAUUAUUUUUGAAUAAAAUAUUUUACUGUAAAUUGAACCUUAUAUUCUUAAAAUUUAUCAUUAGAGUUACAGUUGAUUUUGUGAACCUAGUUAUAAUAGAUAGUUUUUUUAUUUUAUAAUGAUAAGGUGGCUUGAAUAGAGACAAGUGCCUUUACUUAUGUUUGUGGUUCAAAAAAAUGAUUACCAAUAGCCUCAAGAUAAGAUGUAGAUUCUGAAUGAAGAUAAAUAGAAGCAUUUGUUGUAAAAGAAGAUGUGGCACAAAGAGUAGUAUUUAAAGUAUUUGGCAUAGAAUAAUAACUUUGAUAUUAAGAUAAAAUUAAAAAAUCUUGAGUCAAGUUAGUAUAAGAAGUAGAAAUAGGAUUGAAUAAAGGAUCAUUAACUUUUCUUACUUGAAAAUCUUGUACUAAUUUAGAAAAAUUUAAAAUUAAUUUUUUUUAUUAUAAUUCAAAUAGAGAUAUAUUUAAUUAUACUUUGAAGAUAAGAUAUGAUUCUAGAAUAGUGGUCUUUUUUGCAACAUUUCUAAAGAAGAAAGAUAAUCAAAAUCAAUAAUUAAAAGCAAUAAAAAAUCAAAAACAAGAAGUAAGUAAAAUAUAUAGAUUUAAGAUAUUUUAUCAAAUUUCAUAUUAGAGCUUUCAAAAAUUAUAUUGAAGAUAGUGUUCUAGAACUUCUAAGCCAUAUCUAAUACAAAAUAAUCAACAAAAAUUAUUAGAAUACUCUUAAAUCCAAAUUUAGUCUAUUUAUAUUUAUAAAUGUGUAUAAGUAUAAGUAUCAAGGAUAUAUAUAUUUCAAAGAAUUAAAAGGCCAAUAAAUUCUUGUGUUAUUCAAAAAGACUAAAAAAUCACUCAAAGAUGGUAUAAUAUUAAAUUAGAAUGGCUAUUGCCAAAGACAAGAAGACUAAAAAGUCUUGAAAUGAUACUAAAGACUAAAAAGGCAUUGAUAAGAGUGAAUAAGGCUUUAUUCUUAUUUUUACAUAUACUAUCUAACUAAGAGCUAUAUAGAAAUGUUCUUUAGAACCUCCAACACGUGUCUAAUUUGCAAGAAAUAUGACUUAACUUGCAAAGCAAGCUUCUUAUAUGGAUACCAUAUCAUUAGCUUAUAUCACAAGCUACCUACAUGUACAACAUAUGGCUAACUUGUUGGCUAAGUUUCUGACCUAUCAAUCAACUAUAAACAUGCAUAAAGUCAAAUAUGCAUCUAUGAAGCUUUUGAAAAUCUUUGCCACAAGAUAAUAUCAAAUUUAUCAAUAUUUAUCUUCUAUCUAGCACUUUUUAUGUAGAUAAAUAUAUAUGUCCGUGAUAGCAAGAGAGCCAAAUAUUUUGUAAUAAAGUACAAAACAUUUGUAACCAAAUAAUUUUUUAAAAGAUUUUUUAUUAUCAAUUUGAGAAUAAAUUUUCUAAUUCAAAAUACAUACCUUGGUAACUAUAGCCUCUAUUGAAAGUUAUAGUAAUAAUAUUUUUUUUAUAUAACAUUGAUCAUGCUUAUUUAUAAAUAAUUUAAUUAUUUUAUUUGAUAUAACCAUUUUAUUAUAAGAUGUAAAUGGUACUAAGUUUAUAACAAAUUAUAGCUUCAUUUGAAAAAAAAUUAAAAAUAUAAUUAAAAUAUUUUUUUCUUUGAUUUGUUCAAAAAUAUUUUAUAAAAAUUGAUAAAUCUUGAUGUGUAAUAUUUAUAGUUUUUGAAAGUAGUCAAAGGAUAUCAACUUUGUUUUGCAAAAUAAACUCAUUAGUAAGAUGUAACAUCAUUUUUGAAUAACAUAAAAUAUUAAAAAACCUUAAUAAAUUCAACAUUGAAUUUUUUAAGAUAUUACAAUGUAAAAACUUAUUUGGAAUAGACUUCUUGAUUUUUUUUUUCAUUAUGCCAAUAUGUCAAUUUGGCAUGUUUUUUAGGCAUGCAACCAUAAUAUAAAGAGGAUUCUUAGUUGCAUUAACUAAGAUAAAAUUAAAAAAAUAAUUAUGAGUAAAUAUUCUUCUAAUAGUUAAAAUUUUGAUAUUAGAUAUUAUUUUAUAUCAAAGAUCUAUAUUUUAAAAUCAAAUAUAUUACAAAAUUAUUCAAAUCUUAUAUAUAAAUAUUUUAAGAUUUUUUUAAUUAAUUCUAUAUAAUUUCAAUGGAUUUAAAUAAUAUACUUUGUUUUAGAUAAAAAAAUUAUAAGCUCUAAAGAUGGUAAUAAAAGAGAUAUCAACUUCAAAAACAAUACCGAUAGAGAAGAGAUUGCUAGUAAAAAAAGAGACAUAAAUCACGUUAAUAAAAAUUCUAAGUAAAGACAUACUAUAAACUUCUUAUUUUAUAUAAAUAUUACCUUGACUACAAAUCCAAAAUAUGCAAUCAUCAGCAAUUGUGAUGUACUAGUUGCUUCCUACAAUUGGAAUAAAAGAGUCAAAUCAUUAUCAACAAUCGAUCAUAUAUUUUGUGGUGGCAAAAUCUGCAUAUCAAAAUUCAUUGUAAUAAAAAAAAUAGAUUAUGCAUGCAACAAAAAAGUAGAAGUCAUAAAUACAAAAUUUAAAAUUUAUAAAGUAGAAAAAAUUUAUAACUUAUUAUUUAGAUUGGAAUAAUAUUAAAGGCUUUUAGAUAUAUUAAUUUUGGUAGUAAUAUUUAUUGAUGCUAAAAUGUUUCUGUUCUUUUUCUUUGACUUUAAUUGAUUAAUAGACCAAUAUUUUUUCUUGCCUUAGUUAAUAAAUUUUAUUUGACUUUCCAUAUCUUGAAUGUCUUAGAGAUCAUCUUAGUGUUGUAAAUGACAAUUUACCAACCUAGAUUUUGGAGCUUCUUAAUAAGUACGAAAAAAAUAAGAUCUCUUGAGUUGUCUUCUACACUUUGUAUUUGAAGGAUGCUUUUGUAGCAAAAAAGUUGUUCUUGUAGAAUUAGAACAAUUUUCUAUUCUUUCAAUACAUUUGCCUAAGUAGCAAGUAUGUUGUUAUAACUUAAAAGAAUACUUGAUAUGAUUUUUGAAAAAGAUAUGCUCUUUAACAUUUUAUGUUCUAAAUAUUUUUUAAAAAAAGCCAUGAUCUUAAUGCUUUAAAUAUGUGAAUUGAUAUAACUUAUUUGAAAUAACUUAUAAUUGUAAAACUUAUCUUGCAAUUGAAAAAUAUUCUCUGCAAUAUGUUUAAGGUAGAUGGAGCAAAGCUUUGUCUGCAUAGUUUCAACAAUAAAACAACAUGUUACCUUUGAUGUAAUAUGAAGUGAUAUUCUAGAAGUUAUGAGUAUUCUUGAAUUUUAUUUUUUUUAUUCUAUAUGUCAAUGUAUACUUGAAGUUUUGGAGUAUUUGAAAUUAUUAGUAUAAUCCAUUGCUGACCAACUCUUAUAAGAAUACAAUACAUUAUUUUUUCUUUAAAAAAAAAAAUCAUAUAAAAAUUCCACAUAAAAACUAAUCCUCAUCAAAAACUUUGACACCAAAUUUUCAUAAGGUCAAUUAGUAAUUACUUAAAAGAUAAAAAUAAAUCAACUAUGGAUAAAAUAAGAAAGUUAUUAAAGAAAUCAAAUGUAUUAGUAUUACUUAAUAUACAUAUAAAAUGUAAUAAAGAUCCAAAACAUGUUCAACUUUAACACACACAUUAAAUACACACAAUAGCAAUAUAAAAUGCAACUUCUAUCUAAAUUGUAAAAUCACACUCAAAUCACUUUAUAACAUUGAUUUCAAUUUACAACAUAGCAAGCUAUUAAAUUCUAUACUAAUAUGAUAAUUCACCUACAUCAACCUAUAUAAUAUUAAUUUUGGUUCACAUUCAAAAAGACUAGAAAAUCAAUCAAAGAUGGUAUAGAAUUAAACUAAAAUAGCUAUAAUUAAAGAUAAGAAAAGUAGAAAGUCUUGAAACAAAAUCAAGGACUAAAAAAGAAUUGACAAGUGUGAAGAAGGCUUCAUUCAUGUCUCUAUAUAUACUAUUUUACUAAGAGUUGCAUGGCGACAUUCUAUAGGAUCUUUGACACAUGUCCAAAUUAUAAGACAUAUGUUUUAACUUGUAAAGAAUAUUUUUUAUAUGUGUGGCACAUAAUUAGCUUGUUUCACAAAAUAUCAACAUAUGUAAUACAUGGCUUAUUUUUUUACCAAGUUUUUAACCUACCAAUCAACUACAAAAAUUUAUAUAGUCAAAAUUAUGUCUAUUAAGCUUUUAAGAAGCUUUUCUAUAAAAUACAAUUCAAAGAAACUACUUUUAUCUACUUCUACCUAAUCAUAUAGGUAAAUAUUGAAAUAAAUAUGUAUGCAUAUGACAUUGCAUUAAUUCUUUCAUGAUUUCUUUUCUUUUCUUUAAUAAAAUCAAUUAAAAAAAUUAGAUUUUAGGAUUAUAAUAAUGCAAUAAGUAUAAGAAAUAUCAUACUUUGUUUGUCCAUUUCACCAUCAAAUUCAAAAUAUUUCUCUUUAAGAUAAAAAAAUCUCUUUAAGAAAAAUCUCUAUAGAUUCUCCAUCAACAUAUUUUUCAUCAAAAAUAUUUUAAUGAUAACUCCUAAGGACAUAAAGAUCUUAGCUAAAAUAUUCCACAUCUCUUUUGUAAACUUAUAUAUAUAUAUAUAUAUAUAUAUAUAUAUAUAUGAGUCAAUUAUAAAGACUUGACAUUGAAGGCAAUUAAUGCUUGUACUUCAAAUUUCCUUGAUUUUAUUUUAGCUUUUCAUCUAUAUCCAUAGGACAUUCUAAUAUCUCAUUUACAUAUAUAUAAAGCUUAAAAAUUUGCAUCAAAUUCUUUAUAAGUAAUACCUAUGUACUAUAAUAUUUACAUUUAAACAACUAAUACAAUGAUUGAUAGAAGAUGAUGCUAUUGCCAAAAAAGACUAAUACAAUAGUAAGAAGCAAUAAGAUUGUUGAAUAAGAAUAAAUCUUAUAAUAACUAAAUAUUAUACAAACUACAAUAUUAAGAGGUAGUAAUACCAAGCUAUGAUGGAAGAAAAGUAGUUCUUUUUUAACACAAGUAGCAAAUCAAUUCUAGUUGAAAUGAAGAGCAAUAAUAUUAUAAGAAGGCUCUAACAACAACAAGACUCCAAUAACAACAAGGCUCUAACAACACUUCACCCGUUGUUGUAUUGUGAUUUAGCUACUAUGUGAAAAUAAUGCACAUAAAUAUUUAAUAUAUAAUUUACUAUACAAUGUAGUAAGAGCCACAUUGUUAGAUUUUAAUUACUUAUAAAAUAUAAUUAGAUUAAUACUUUGAAGUGGUUAGUUUAAAACGGCUAUUAUUGAAGUUGAUUUUAUGUUGAUAAUAGUUUUAUGUAUUUAGAGCCACCUUCAUUAGAUAUUGGUAAUACUUAAAAUCUUGUUAUGUUUCUUUCAUUUGGUAUUUAAGGCAUAUAUUAUAUAAAUCUUAUAAGAAAAAGGAUUGGAGAGGGAUUUCGGUAGCAAAAAGAAUAGUUAGUACAUCCAUAUAGAUGAUUGGAGAUGAAUGAUGAAAAUUUCCAUUGCUAUCGGUGAAAAGGCAUGCCCAAUAGAUUUUAAGGAGGCUGCCUAAGGUCUUAUUAGGGAUUAGAGUUAUUCUUUCAAAGGCAUUUGAACUUGAGAGGCUAAAGUCAAAAAUUUUAGGUUUUUGGCUAUAGUUUUGGUACAAAUUUUGAGUGAUUUGGAGUUUUUAUGAGAGAGAUAUAGGCACUCAAAAUUAAGGUAUUGAUUUUGUACCUAUUGUCAUUCUUUUUGACUUAACAUAUGCAUACAGAAAGCAAUAAAGGAUUGGCAACUAAAGUUGAAAAGAGAAAUUUUUUGGCUAUAUUUUUUAUUUAUUUCUUGAUGAAUUCUAAGCUAAAAUGAAGAGAUUAUAGAUAGUUGAAGUUAGCACUUGUAAUCUAAAGGUAGCAAGUAAACCGAUUUACUAAUGGCUGUAUUUUGAACUAUAUCUUGAAUAAUUUGAUAAGAUUUUAGCUAAACUUUUCCAAAAAUGUGUGUUAUCAUGUUAUUAAACUUUAUACAAAAAUUUUGUAACAUUUGAAUCUUGGAAUUUUGAGAUAUAGGAAAAAUAGUAAUCAAGUGCUUGUAAAUUAGGGUUUAAAGCACCUGCUAGGAUUUUUAAGAUGCAAGACGAUUUUUAUUAGAUUUUUAAUAUUCCAAAAAAUAGUUUUUUUUGUAGUAAAUCUUAAGGAUAAAAUUUAGAUUAUCUAGAAAUUUUUAAAAAAUUGAAUAGUUGGAUUAAGAGAUAUAGAAAUUUCUAAAGUUUGGAGAAGAAAACUUGUAUGAAUGAAAAAUAUGUUUUGAAAGGGCUUUACUACAAUUUAGAUAUUUUAUAUAAAAUAUAGGGGAUUUUGGAAGCAAAGACUUUGUAUAUAUGUUAAAAAUGGAGAUAUGGAGCUAUGGCAAAAUUUUGAUAUAAAAGUGGAUUUUUGUAAUAAGAUUAUAGACUUUCCUUGAGCUUAUUGGAAAUCAAGCUUAUCUAUCAAUGAUUUAGUUAUGAUUUGGUAUAGCAAAGGAUAUUAAGGAAUUUCUAGAUGAUUUAAAAAGCCUUAUAUAUAAAGUUUAUUAAAUAUAAAAGAUUUUUAUUAGUAGAAUAUUUUUAUAUUAUUAUAUUUAUUUGGCCUUUAUAAUUAAAAUAUAUUAUUUAUUAGAAGUUGGUCAAUAAAUUAAAGCUGAAUUCUCUACAAAUAAGUAUCCGAUAUAUUCUCAAAUAAAAAAUCACUCUAUUGGACAACUGGUGAAUUUGACGUAAAACAUCUAAGAUAGUGAAUUUUAAAGAAAUAUUUUUGGCUUUCUAUUAUAGCUAAAGAAUAAGUAAGUGGUAGUGGAAAUUGUACUAAGGAAUCACCAUUACAACUUCAUCUUGCUACAAUUCAAAUGUUUUAAGCAUUUUCUUUUUAUAUGCAACAACAAAAAGAAAUGGAUCACAAAGAAGCAAUAGCUACCAAAGCUUUAGAAUUUGUUGUUGGUUUAUUAAAUCAAUUUGAUGGGAGAAACAUUACCAGAUAUUUGAAAUAAUAUUCUGAAGAGAUGGAGUGCAAUAAGGUAUCAAAGAAGGAAAUGGUCCUUAUAUUUAAGCUUGUAAUUGUACUAGAGCUAUGAGAGCAUAAAAAAGAAUUUAUUCAAAUCCAUGUAGAAAAAUGGGACGAUUAUACCCUUCAACUAAAAGAAGAAUAUUUUUUGGAGGAUACUGAAAGAAUAACAAAAAAAUCAUUGAUGGAAUGGAUUAAUAAAUCCAACAAGGAGUUGAUUGCAGCAAAGUUAUUUAGAGAGUUUGACAAACAAUUUCUUCAAUCAUCUCUAAUGAAAAAGCUUAUACUUCAAAAUCAUGAGGUAGAGUUAUUUUUUCAAUCAGCCAACAAUAAAUUAUAAAGCAAAUUGGAUUUAUUAUUGAAGGAUUUUUGCUUUUGAAUCCUUACAGAUUGGAUAUGUGGAUCUAAGUAUUAUAGCAUCUAUAAUUAUAUUUAUAAUUCCACAUGCUCUUUUGGAUUUAAAGCCAAUUAAAAUACCUCGAGUGCAUCAAUCCAAAUUUAUGGAACUUUUGAAAGAAAAGAUACAAAUGAAGAUCUUAGAACCAUCAUUUGCACCAUAUUCUAGCUAUUAGUUCAUAGUACAAAAGAAGAAUGGAACACUACAAUUUACUUAGGAUAUGCAACCAAUGAAUUUAGUAAUCAUUAGAAAUACAUGGAUUAAAAAUUAAAAAUAUAAAUUAAAAAUAUAAGUUAAAACUAAAAGUUAAAAAUAAAAAAAAGAAGAUUAAGAUUAAAACUUAAAAAUUAAAAUUCAUAAGUUAAAAUAUGAAAGUCACAAAUUAUUAUAAAAACUGAAGUAAAAGUAGGACUAAAGAGAAACAAAAGCAAAUGUAUCUUGAUAACACCUAAGAAUUGAGGGCAAUAAAUCCUUUCUACUCCAAAAAAUUUCAAAACAUGUGAUCAGCUUCAAAUUAAAUGAUUUUUAAUUUGUUGCAAAAUUUACUUAAAGGCACUUUUUUUCCAAUAAAUUUAAAUUAAAGCUAGUAUCUAAGCCGUAAGAAAUGCUCCUUCAAAGUUGAGUGACUAAGACUACCAUAGCAAGCAACCUCCCUCCACUUGGAAAUUAACCAAAAAUUCAAUUCAUCUUUAAAUUCAGUAAAAUUUAUGCCAUUAGAAGCUCAGCUUGAAGAUGCACUUAUAUUCCAAUUUUCACAAUAAUCCAAUUAGAAUGAGUAAUGCUUUUUCAAAGGUGGAUGAUCUAAAUUGCGAAGGCAGCCAAUCCUUGAAUACUCAAAAUUUUACCAAAAUUUCGCCCUUACUCCAAAUCAAGCGACCCUUAUCUUGUUGGAAAGCAUUGGAUUCCUAUUUUAAAAGGACAUUUUCUUCAUAUCACUUCAAAAACAACAAAAAAAAAAAAAAAAAAAAUCAAUCUUGUUGGCAUGUGUCCAUCCGUGCAAGAUGAUGGUUCUAAGUACAACUUUCACAUCAACUUGAAGCAAUUUAAAGAUGGCUUACUCAAUGUAGUGACAUUUUUUCCACAUAUCAAAUUCCUUAUAUUCAUCUAUAUGCAAGAGUAAUAAAGUUGUGCAAAAUUUCUAAUUUAUUUUUUUUAUUCCUUGUACUUAACAAGCACACUCCUUUAAGUCUAUGGUGAUAUUAUAGUGCUUGUAGAUGUGGACAUAUUCAACGUAAAUGGUGCCAGUCUUCCAUCUUACAAAAUUAAAAAAUCAAGCUACUUGUGCAACAUCCAUCUCCAUAGUUGAUGAAAGGUUGAUCUUAGAGAUCAACUUACUGGCGGAAAGUAUUACAAGAAAGGUCACAAUUGUAAUACUUGUAAUUGUUACCAUUUUUGAUGAUAAAAGCUUUUCUUAUUAUUGAUCCCUAUAAGAAUGAUCUUUCAUAAAUAAUAUUAAUAAUGACAUUUUGGUGCAGGGGCCAUUAAAAAUAGUUGACAAACAAUCAAUUGAUAAAGUAAAAAAAUGUAGUGAAUCACAUUAUUCACAAUAAAAUAAAUCACAUAAAAUAGAUGGUUACUAAAAAGUUUAUUACAAACAUAAAUGAGGCUUAUUUUGAUAAAUAAGAAUUUUUGUAUGAAAAUUAUUUUAAAUAAAUUAAAAAUAUCUAUUUUAUAUUUUUUUAGUAUAUAAUACUUUUUAAGAAGAAAAUAAAUGCUAUGACCAUGUUGAUUUUUAUACUAUUUUAAACAAGUAAUUUAGGUACUAUCAAAUUAAGUUAUAAAUUAUUAACUAAAUUAAUAAUUUAAACUUUUUAAUCUACAUAAUAUUAUAUUUUUAAUAUAUAUAUAUAUAUAUAUAUAUAUAUAUAUUCUUAAGCUAAAAUGCUAUAACAUUUAGAUAUUAAAAAAUUAUUUAUGUUAUUAUUUCUGAUAAAUUACUAAAAACGUUCAAAAUCUAAACAAAAUAAAAUCUCAGUAUUCAUUAUCAUGUUUUAAGAUUACUAGAUAUAAAUUUGAAAAGAAUUCAAAAUAAAUUAUUUUAACAAAAAUUUAAAACUUAUAUAUAUAUAUAUAUAUAUAUAUAUAUAUAUAUGCUACUUUUUUAUCAAGAAAAUACAAUAUAUUUAGAAAUUAAGAUUGUAAUAUAUUUUUUAUUCUAUAAACCAUCCUCUAUUAUUUAUAUUGUAAUGUUAUACUAAAAUUAAAGAAUCAUCAUAAAAAUAUAAAUACUAAGCUAAAUUUUACAAGAAUAAAAUAUAAAGCAUAAUAAACAUAUUGAUUAAUAUAUAUAAAUUUAUUGAUUAAUACAUACAUACAUAUAUAUAUAUAUAUAUAUAUAUAUAUAUAUCAAUUUGAAACACUUUGAACAAUUGAAUGUAAAAAAAUUACAUGUUAAUUGAGUCAUUAAUAAAAAAAAAUAAUAAAUCUAGAUAUAAAUAAAUUUUAAGUAUUUAAUAAAAAAAUUUCUUAUCUGUUCAAACAUAUUUACUUAUUCUUUUUAGUUAUGUAAGUAUAUUACAUAAAAGUUCUAAUACAUAUUUAUAAUUAUUUUUAAAAUAGAGUAUAUAUAACUUAUUUCAUAUAUAUUACUCUACUAUAAUUAAUAUGAUAUUUAAACAUAUAUUCUUACUAAAUGUACUGAAAUUUUUAUUGAUAAUUUUUUUUCUUAUUAUUUCAUUAUACUAUGCAAUAUAUCAUAAUGUCUUGUACAAGCUACACUUUACCAAAAAUUUAAUUUUAAAUCAUUAAAAUUUUAGUUUUUAUAUCUUUUUUGUUUAGCAUUAUGAAAUUUGAUAUAUCAAGUAUCAAAUUACUUCAGAAUAUUUUUUCUCAUUGGUUUCAUAGUAAUGUUUAAAAAUUAGAUAUUAAUUAAUGUUUAGAUAUUUUACUUUUAGAAAUGAAACUAUAUCAGUAUUUCUCAAAAAAUAAUAUUUAUGUAAUAUUUAUAUAGUUCAAGUUUUGGUCAAGGAAGUCAUUAAUAGCACUAGAAGAAACAAAGUCUAAUUCAAAAUUAAGCUUACAUAUUAUACAAAAAGAUUAUUGAAGACAUUCCUAUGCCACGUGUAACGUAACCUUUACUCCAGCCGCAAGCACAGUGCCGUGAGUUUAGAAAGUGUGACGCAGAUUGUGCUGUGCACCUUCAUCAAACUGUCAGGUCGAUGGUUGCAGAAGGUCUGUCCACCUAGUAUUCUCGGAGCGGACUCUAACACCAUAAACACAGGUGCAUUAUUUUCGAAUUCGGAGGACCUGGGAAGAGCACCAUACCUCAACGACAGCUUUUCUCGUAGAAUGCAAGGUGGAUGGUCUUGGUGCGGUAUCUCCCUGGCACCUGAGUUGAAACAGUGUUGAUCUUUCGGAUCGUUUCAGAAUUUGGAUUCUCGGGUUUGAUGCCAACAGGCAAAGAUUAGUUGCAGUUCUGGGGAGUUUGGGGAGGAUUAGUUUCGUGGGGUGGACGAGGAGCUGACGGUCGCAUUUGACAUCGUUUAAGAUUGGAUCCACAGUGUUUAUAAAACAUUCUUCGUAGCCAUGGCUGCAUUUGCCGUGCCCACGUUGAAAAAUGUCGAAGAUUUUCAGGUUUGCGUCCCCUCGAUUGGAUUUUAGCUUCCCUGAAACUACAGUGGACAUAUAACCUCCCAGCACAUUCCCUUAACUUGUGCAGUGUUGGUAUAUUUGGAGUUGUGAACUAUGUGGUCUUGUAAUCCUGCAGGUGUAUUACGUCGCGACGGUGUUGGUAGUCAUUCUAUUGGUGAGAAGGUUGCUUACUUGGCCACACCAGCCGCCAGGGCCGCCAGGUCUGCCGUUAGUUGGCCACAUGCAUUUCCUCGGCGCAAACCCACACAUCUCUUUAUGGAAACUGGCGGACAAAUACGGCCCAUUGAUGUCCUUACGUCUUGGUAACAAACCAUACGUUGUUGCGACGUCCCCCGAAACGGCUAAAGAAUUCCUAAAGACUCUGGAUGCAAACUUCGGGUCGCGGCACUAUUCAUCCCAGAGCCAAUAUUUGCUUUACGGCGGUCAAGGUGCGUUGAUUCCGAACCAGUAGCAACUACUACCAAUGCCUCAGCGAUUCUUUUUGGCUGACAGACAGUCCUCAGGCUCAUGCAUUGUUUCGUGGGUCAGAUGUUGCGUUCCAGGAAUCGAGUCCAAGCUGGCGGAACUUAAAAAAGAUCUUCACGAUGGAGCUCGCCAGCCCGGCGCGUUUGGAAGCGUCCCGACACAUCCGAGAGGAGGAAAUGAUCGUCCUACUGCGCACCAUUCACAGCAAAGGCGAGCUGGAACUGAAAUCUCAGCUGAUCGACAUGAUUUCACACGUUAUAUCUCGGAUGGUCAUCAACAAACGGUUCGAUGAUUCCGUAGAAUCAGAUUUUCCGACCCUGGUGCAAACACACUUCCGGUUGGCUGGGGCCUUCGUUCCGGGGGAUUAUAUCCCCGCCGUGAAGUGGCUCGACCUGGGGGGAUUCGAGGCCCAGAUGAAGAAGCAGAAAGAGCGCAUGGACGCGUUUAUUGAUGACAUCCUGGUGCAGCAUCGAGAACGGAGGGCCAAAGGACCCGUGCCGAUGAAGGAAUAUGACAUGGUCCAUGUUCUUCUCGACCGAAUAGAAACGAAAGACGACCAAAUCCAGCUCACCGAUACCCAUGUGAAGGCUCUCGUACUGGUAAGAGCAGUGGCAGAGGUUUCGCUUAGUCUUUUGUUAGAAUUUUCGAUCAAUGAACUAAGCCAUUCCUUGGUGGUCUUGCGUUUGCUGCUCCAACCAGGACGCGUUCCUGGGAGCGUCAGAAACAAUUAUACUGACAUCGGAGUGGGCAAUGGCGGAACUCCUUCGACAUCCUUCACUGAUGGCCAAAGCGCAAGCUGAGCUCGACGCCGUCGUCGGCCGGGACCGCAUGGUGACGGAGUCCGAUCUCCGUCACCUCACUUACCUCAACACAAUAAUCAAAGAAACAUUCCGACUCCAUCCUGCAGCUGCGCUUCUACUGCCUCGCGAGUCCGCUCAACCCUCGCAAGCGUUUGGCUACAAUUUCCCCGCAAAGACGCGCGUUCUUAUCAAUUGCUACGCAAUCCACCGUGACCCGGCCAUAUGGCACGAUCCUCUGGUCUUCAACCCGGACCGGUUUCUGCAAGCGGAUCUCAAGGACGUGGACGUCAAGGGGCGGCACUUCCAGCUGCUACCCUUCGGCGCAGGCCGGCGUGUGUGUCCAGGGUUGUCGAUGGGGAUCCUGACCGUGCAAUUCAUCUUGGCGAGCCUGUUGCAUUCCUUCGACUGGUCGUUGCCGGGUGACAUGAAGCCAGAGGAUGUAGACAUGACGGAGAUAUAUGGGUUGACGCUGCCGAGAGCCGCUCCGUUGCCUUGCGCCGCCAAGCUUCGGCUGCCAUCGCACUUGCUCACCACCGCCCAGAAACCAUAACUCCUCCUGCUCAAUACCUGAUGUGUGUACAGGAUGCACAAACCCGGUAUAUGUCCGUUCGAUACUGGGUUUGUGGUGUGUCGAUUGAUAACUUGGUUACCCUCAGAAACGUGAUGGCUGUUGUACUGGUAUGAGCUUAUGAUACCCUGGCUAUAUACCCGGUUGACAUGGCAGAUUUCUUGCUGGGGUUGUGUAUACUGUUGCAACUGAAUGCAUGAAUGAAAUUUAGCAAGGCUUUUUAUAUUUUCCACUUUGAGGAGUGUGUGUGUAGAUAUAUAUAUAUAUAUAUAUACAUAUAAUAUUAAUGGAAUGAUAAAGUGACCCAUCCAUUAUCACAAAUCGGCACAUCAAUUGUACAUACCUUCUUCAUCAUUAAAAGCAGCAUCCUCAUUUGGAUAAACAAAGUCAUGGUUUUUGUAUGGUUUCCAACCAUUCUCAGCAGUUACCAAUGGCUACUAUUAUUGUCUAUUUUUACAAUCCACAUUUGGAUUAACAAAAUUAUGGUUUUUUGUAUGGUUCCCAAUCAUUCUCAAUAUUUGCCAAUGGCUGCUAUUAAUGCCUAUUUUUAUUUUCUUUGCCUUGGUUCAUCUAUAUAUAUUUACAUAAUCUUUUUCUUAUUAAUUUGUAUUGCAAUUCGCUCUUUUUUACAAUAGUGUAGUGUGUAUAAGAGAAGAAAUUCUAUAUUCUACAAUUCUUUGCAUCUUGCAACAAAGAAAUGAGACACACAUGAUUGUACCAACAAAGAGGUAUUCUAAAAGUAUAGAAGAAAUGAAAGAUAGUUUAGAUGCAUUUACAUACAAUGAAGGUUAUGUUGUUUGCAAGUUUCUUUUUGAUAUGAAUUGUAAUCACAAGUAUAAUAGAAGACAAAUUUACUAUGACCAAAAUUGUCAUACUCAUUAACAAAGUAGUGUAAGUUGAUUGACUCGAUGUUUGUUGCAUUACAUGUGUGUCGUUUGGAGAAUAGUACACAAUGACACUUAAACAUUUGGUAUAGUUUUUAUAAUCAUGGAUCUUAUAGGUCAUUCAUUUGCUCAACAUCAUCAACGAGUAGAGAAAGAAUUAACUUUGCACUUGCUUGUUGUAGGAGUUCAAUCAAAAAAUGUGGUCAUUACCUUACAAAAGAGUGAAAAGAUAUAAUUUAAUAUGAUAUGAAAAUUUUGUUUUAUUCAAAGUUUUAAAGAUUAGUACAUAACAUUUCUAAAUUAGAUAAGUGAUAGAAUUUUUGAGUAGGAAAGCAUGUUUUAUAUGUUUCUUCAAAAAAAUCUAAUAAGCAUUAUUUUUGAAAAAAAAAGACUAGUUAAUAUCACACAACUUCAAUAUGUUGAAUAGAAAUUUCUUAACAUACAGAUAUAUGAGCAAAGUGGCAAGAAAAGAGAAACAAAAUACAAAUUCAACUAUUAAUUGUUGUGAAUGUCAAUUUUUUUAAGAUACAUUUGCAACAACACUCAGAAGUGAAUCUAUGAAGUAAGUAGGGCAGCCAAAGAUUUCCAUGCUCCAUAAUAAUAACUAGCUUACUCUAUCUAUUUCCAAAAUAACCUUCACCUAUAAACAAGGCUUUUUUUUACUAUUGUUAAUAAACUUCAAUGAUAUAAUGAUAUAUCUACUACCUAUAAUCUAAUUAAAAAGCUUUUAGAUUAACAUAUUUGCAUAAAACAACUCAAGAAGCUCAAGAUAUAAAUAUAUUCUUUAUAUAGUCAAAUAAAAAGAAAAUUUAGGAAAAUUAAUCCAAUAUUUUUUCAAUUAGUUAUGACAAGUACCAGUCAAUUUGAAUUAAAAUUAAAAAAAAAAAAAAAAAAAAAAAAAACUACAGCUUAUUGUGGAUACAUUAUAGAAUGUCAUAAGCUUAAAAUGGAUACUUAUAAACUAACCUAUAAAAGAUAGCUACGACCAAUUUUAAGAUGGAAACAUAACACAAUAAUAUUAGAAAUAUAUCAUUAUUCAAACUUGUUGUAAAAAAAAAAAAAAAAAAAAAAAAAAAAAAAAUUACAAAGUGAUAUUACUAACCUUAGCAAUUACAUUUUGCAAGAAAUAAUAUGAGAUGAAGGAGGAAGAUAAAUUAGUAGACCUACUCUCUACAUCCAAAGCAGCUUUUUUGCUUUGACAAAAUCAACAUUUAGAGUUAAUGAAAUAUUAUUGACAGAUGCCUAUUUUUUAUUAUAAUAUUAAAUGAUAAAUAUGUUCUAAAAUUGCAUGUGUCUAACCACUCACAACAUGCAUUAUUUUCUUCUUGUUUCCAAUAAUAAGCCAAGUAUAGAUCUUUGCCUGAUAAGUACAUAUUAUUUUUGAAUGUGAAUUUAAAUAAAAAAGAAUGCUAAGUUAAGAAAAUUACAUAAUAAAGCAAUAGCAUAAUUGUAGACAGUAAUAACAAUAUAUAAUAACAUACAUGUCAUCUUAUAUAAUAAAAUAUAACUAUAUAUAGAAUAAUAUUUAAUAUUUUUAUAUUGAUUAAUGUCUUGCAAAUUAAUUUCAAUACUUCAAUUUUUUAACCUGUAUACACACUUAAAUUGAAAAAGUAAUAAAACAUAGUCAAUGUAUAAAAAAAAUCAUGGGUUGUAUUUCUAAUAUGGAUGUACAUUUUUUAGCAAUACAUGAUUUCAAUGAAACGUCAAUAUCUACACAAACAAAAACAUCAUUAGAUCAAGCACCUUAAUUUUCAUCUAUUCCUUAGGACUAAAACCAUUUCAAGCUUGCCAUUGUCUCUUAAAGACUAUUCAUAAUCAAUUAGAAGUUGUAUUGUCCAUACUACCACAUUCAAAGCAUGAAUGCUAUUAAAAUCUGAUUAUCCUAUAACAAUUAAUAUAUACCAAGUGUCACAGAUAUAUAUAUUUAUUCCAAUAAUUAUCUAUAUGAUUAAAUAGAAGUAGGUAAAAAUAGAUUAAUAUGAUAACAUCUUUUAGAGAAGCUUCUUAAAAGCUUUAUAGAUGUGAUUUUUACUUUAUACAUGUUUUUAGUUGAUUGAUAGGUUAGAAACUUGAUCAACAAUUUAAUCACAUGUUACAUACAUUAGUAGCUUAUGGGACAAGCUAACUAUGUGGCGCUCAUAAAUAAAACUUAUCUUAUAAGUAAAGAUAUAUGUCUUGCAAAGUCAACACGUAUUAGAAGUCUUAUAGAACAAUGCUACGUAGUUCUUAGUUAGAUAGUAUAUAUGGAGGCAAGAAUUAAUUCUUCUUCAUUGUUGUUAAUACCUUUCUAGUCCUAGAUCUUAUUUUAAGACUUUUUAGUCUUCUUAUCUUUUACAAAAGCCAUUCUAUUUUAAUAUAUUAUCAUCUUUGAAUGAUUAUGUAGUCUUUUCAAGUAAUACAAGAAUGUCUUGAUCUUUCAAUUCUUCAAGAUUCAUAUCUUUGAUAGUCUCAUAAUAAUAUUAAUUCAUAAUUCUUGACUUGUUUUAGAAGUAAGUAGAUUAUUCUACUUCUAUUAUUAUAUUUUGAAAGUUACAAAUUAUCCACCUUUGAAUAAAUAAUUUAAUUUUUUGAUAUUGAUUUUUCUUUAAAGAGAGUGAAUCAUCUUUCUUUGUAGAAAUAUUCAUUUAACAUUUGAGGUUGUAGAUUACCUUCUUCUCAUUUGACUUUUGGAUUUAUUAAGUUAUUUAAAAUAAAAAGAUAAAUAAUAAAUAUUAUAUUUAGUAAAAUUAAAAAUAGAUUUACAAUUAUUGAAGAUCUUUACAAGCUUAUCAAUACUCUUAAGGUGGAAAUUUUAUGCAUCACCAAUAUCAAUUACAAAAGCACUAUUCUUACACCUAUGGAAGAAGUUUAGAAUCUAUGCUAAGAAAUCGUGUAGUUGAGGGAAAUAAGUAAGUCAACCUUACAAUCAAAUUCAAGAAAUCUUACUUCUACAAGGAUAAGGGUGGCAAGGAUUAGUAUGCACAAGAAGUUUAAUAGAACAAGAUCAAAAUUUCAAGGAUUUUUAUAAAAAAUUAAAAUCUAUUUAAAAUUGUGUCUUUCCCAAUACUUUGAUGGAUUUAAUUAAGUUGGAUUCAUAUGCACAUUUCUUUCUAGAAGUACUCUCUUUUAAUUUACAUCUUUGAUGGAAAAAGAUUCACAACUCUUUUAUGAUUUAAAUUUAUUCUUAAAAAUAUUUACCACCACAUCUAAAAAAAGUGAUCAAGAAAGAAUACUAGAGACCAAGCUCUUAUCUUUACAACAACGAGCAAGUUCAACCACUAUAUAUACUAUUAAAUUCCAAAACCUUAAUUGCAAUGUGGAUUAGAAUGACAAAGCCUUUAUCAAUCAAUUUUAAUAUGGAUUGAAGGAUAACAUCAAAGAUUUGUUAUUAAUAAUGCAAAAAGAAAUUUUUUUGGAAUAAUUUAUUACUGAAGCCAUUGCAUGUAACAAUCAACUAUUUAAAAGGUAUUAAGAAUAAAGAUUUGGCUAAAAAAGAACAAGUCAAGUAAAAAUGGCGGCUCCUAAGCCUUUAAAAACUUAUUUAUCACAGCCAAAAUCAAUGCAAAUUAAUACAAUAUAUUUUAAAUUACUCAUGAAGCAAAAAAAAAACUUGAUACUAUUAAAAAGAUUUAUGCUUAUAUUAUGGAGAAGCUAAAAAUAUUACUCAAUAUUGUUCAAAGAAGAAAUACAAUUAAAAAAUGAUAAGCACAAUUGCCAAACAAGAUAAUAUAUUAAAAAAUGAGUUUCUUCAACUACAAUAAAAAUUGAGCCAUUGGAAAUAUAUGCAAUACCUACUAAAGGUUAUAUUUUCUCUUCAAAUCCUUCACUUUUUUUUACAAUAGAUAUACGUUUAGGACCUAAAAAUUAUAGUCUUUGCCUUACUAGAUUCAAGAGCCUUAGCUUAUUUUAUAGACAAAGACUUUGUCAAAAAAUAAGAAAUAUCAUUAAUCAAGAAAAUUAAACUAUACAUGUAGAAGUCAUAGAUGAUUGUUUGUUCUCUUUUAGAGAUAUCACCUAUAAGAUUUUUCCUUUAGAUGUAGCAAUUAAAGGUCAUAAUAGUUUAAUAAUAUUUAAUGUAAUAAGAUUUCUUUUUAAUUUAAUUAUUUUUAAAUUAUCGUAAUUAAAAAAUAUAUAUAAUUUUCAAAUAGAUUGGAUUUUUUAUAACCUUUAUCUUUUUUGUAAUUAAGUUCAAAAUUUUGUUAGUCAAAUAGAAAUAUAUAAAUCUAAUACAUUCAAACCCUUGUUGAUAUGUGUAAGAACUUUCAUGCAUGCCAUAAAAGAAAGGUCAUCUUUUAUUAUAUAUGUCAUGUCCAUUUUUGAUGGUAAAAAGAUGUUAAGUGAUAUUCUUAGCUAGUAUUAAGAUUUCUAAGAUGUUCCCAAAAUACAAAUAUUCUUUCAAAGCAUCAAUCCUAUGGUUGUUUAAUUAAUUUGUAAAAACGAGCUCAACUACUAUUCAGAUUAAACUAUAGCUUAUCAGAGAAUGAAUUGGCUAUAUUAAAAGAAUAUAUUGAUAAGAAGUUGAAUAAAAACUUCAUAUUCCAUUCAAAAUUUCUAGUAAGAGCUCCUAUCUUAUUUGUGAAGAAAACAAAUUGAUCUCUAUAUAUGUGUGUAGACUAUUGAGGACUUAACAAGAUUACUAUCAAAAAUAGGUAUUCUUUGCUUUUAAUUUCAAGACUUCUUUAUCAAUUCAAUCAAGCAAAGAUCUAUACAAAAAUAAAUCUACAAUGAACAUAAAAUUUGGUUUGCAUCAAAGAAGGAGAUAAAUAGAAGACUAUUUUUUGAAUUGGAUAUGGACAUUUUGAAUGUAAUGUCAUGUCUUUUGGACUUACAAAUGUAUCAACCACUUUUUAACAUCUCAUGAAUUUAUUGAUGAUUUUUUUAUUUGCUAUUUAGACAAUAUUCUAAUCUACUCUAAAAAUACAAAAAUAUAAAUUUUAUAUUUGUUGUGUAUUAUAAAAACUUAGAGAUACAGAAUUACUUGCCAAAAUAGAAAAAUGUAUAUUUUGUAUUACUCAAGUUGACUUCCUAGGAUAUAUUAUUUCCAAUGAAGUAUUAAUGAUGGAUCCUAAAAAAUACUAGAUUAUCAUAGAUUGGAAGAUUCCAAGAAUAAGAAGAAAUAUACAAUGUUUUUUUUGGUUUUGCCAAUUAUUACUGAAUCUUUAUCAAGAACUUUUUUUUAAGUUAUAGACUUAUUUAUACAUUUGAUUUGUAAAAAAAAACUUGAGUUGAAUAAAGAAGCCAAAGUAUCAUUUGAUGUUUUAAAGUAAGAAUUAAUUUUUGCACCAAUCUUAUAUUACAUCGACUUUUUUAAGGCUUUUUUUAUGGAAAAAAUACAAUAAAUUUUUUUUUGAAUAUAAUAUUAUCACAAAUAGGUGUUGAUGCCAAAUCACAUUCAAUAGAUUUUUAUUUCAAAAAAAAUUCAGUAGCAAAGAUCAACUAUAAAAUCUACAAUAAAGAAAAUAUUGAAAUUAUGGAUUCUUUUCAAGAAUGGCAUCAAUAUUUAGAAGAUACUUUUAGUCUAAUCAUCAAGUAUAUAGAUUACAUAAUCUUUGAGUAUUUCAUGUUAACAUGAGUGUUGAAUUAUUACAAUGCUUGUUGGAGUAUGUUAUUAUUAAAAUUUUAUUUUAAAAUCACAUCUUGACUUAAAAAAAUAAUGUUUAUCAAAUGUAUUUUCUAAACAUUCUUAUCUUACAUAAAAAGUAAAUUAUUGAGAUAAUUAUAUAAUUAUCAUCCACCACUUGAUACUUUUUACUUUUUAAAAAUUGAUAAUUCUAUGAUAAAAGAUUUGACAAAUUAUUUCUCAUAGCUAUAUGCAAUAAUGAUUAAGAAAGAAGCUCAAGAACAACAAAAAAUCAAUGUAGCUACCUAUUGCAAGGAACAAUCUUAAUUCAACAUGAGUGAAAAGGUAUGAUUACAUUGUCACAAUGUGUCAAGGACAUGAAUCUCAAAGAAAGAAAUUCUAAAUACACUCUUAUAUUGCUCAAAAAGACUAGAAGAUCACUCAAAGGUGAUAUAAUAUUAAACUAGAAUGGCUAUUACUAAAGACAAGAAAAUUAAAAAGUCUUGAAACAAGACUAAGAACUAAAAAGGUGUUGACAAAGAAUGAAGAAGGCUUCACUCUUGCCUCCAAAUAUACUCUUAAAUAGGAGCUAUGUGACAAUAUCCUAUUGUCAUGGACAUACAUUGGAAGAUUCUUCGAAUAUUCUUCUAGAAUAUUCUCUAAAGAUUCUCUAAAGAUUCUUUUAGAAGAUUCUAGAAGAUUCUUAGAAUAUUCCCUAAAGAUUCUCUUAGAAGGUUCUAGAAUAUUCUGAUAGAUUCUAGGAAGUUGCUCGAGAAGUUUCCUAAUUAGUAGAAGUUGUUGGAGAAGCGUCCUAGUUAGCGGAAGUAGCUCGAGAAGCUUCCUAUUCAGUAGUAUAUAUAGGAGUCGAGGCUGAAGGGUUCUUCAGUCUCGACAACACAUCUCUUGGAGUUCUAGCUCACCUUUCUGGUGUUGUUCUUGUACUCAUCUGUUUAAUCUAGUUCUGCCACUUCUUCUUGAACUUCUUGUUAGAUUUCAAGUCUGUAUUUUGUGUCCGUGACAGUUUCUCGAGACUGCAUUUUCACUGGUAUCAGAGCUAGUUCCUUCUUGUUAGAGAGUGGAUUACCCCUCUUCUUGAAGGUGUGCUAGUAUUUUAGAGGUUGCGGAUUACCCUCCUAUAAACUGAUAUCUCUUCUUUCUCAAUAUUGGAGCCUUAUUCUUCUUGGAGAGAGUGGAUUACCCCUCAUCUUGGAGUCUUAAGGCGUUUUAGAGGUUGCGGAGUACUCUCCUCUGAACCAAUAUUGUCCUCUUGUCAAAACUCUUUUUUCUUCUUUCUGAAGGUUAGCCGAAGGUUAAGACGUUAAAAUGGCUGAAAGUUUGGAAUCCAAACUAGACGCCAUCAUAAAUGCUCUUGCCUCGUUGUCACAUAGGACAACAGAGAUCGAAAGAGUCAUGGUAGGACUCCAUAACAAUAGAGCAUCUGGGAUAGCGCCAUCUAAAGCAUAUCAGCCUCAAACUUCUGCGCCAGAAGAAGCAGUUCUACCUCCAUUUCAACAAGAUCGAGUAGUCCUACAACGAAAGGAGCCUCGAGUUAGUCUUCCGGAUAAGUUUGAUGGAACUCGUUCCAAGUUUCAAGGUUUUGUCAACCAAAUCAGGUUGAUAACAAUUUUACAGCCCGAACGUUAUCCGACGGAGGAAGCGCGUGUUGGGCUUGUUGGAACCUUGCUUACAGCACAAGCUCUGUCUUGGUUUACUCCCUUGUUCGAGAAGCGAUCGCCAAUCCUGAGCAACUUUGAAACGUUCUUGGAGGCGUUUGCAGAAGCAUUUGGUGAGCAUGAUAAAGUUCGAUGGGCUACAACAAAGAUCCAAUCGCUACGACAAGGAACACGCUCUGCAUCAGUCUAUGCCUCGGAUUUCAAACAAUUGGCAAGUGACAUUAAUUGGGGUGAAGAGGCGUUAGUGAGUCAGUUUUAUUGGGGCUUGAAGGAUGAUGUGAAGGACUUGAUGUUAUCUCUUCCUGAUCCUCAAACGCUCAACGAAGCUAUUAGCCAAGUUGUAAAGUGUGACAACCGCCUAUUCCAGCGUGGCCAAGACCAACGUCCAAGACACCAAAUGACUCGUUACGACGUGACUAUGUCUGCAAAUAGCUUAAACUCACAUUCGGAGGCAACAGACAUGCAAAUCGACACGGCGCGUGUCCGAUCUCUUACUCCAACAGAGAAGAAACGGCGUAUGGAGGAAGGGUUAUGUUUGUACUGUGGAGAAGAAGGUCACAAGGUUGGAAAUUGCCCAAAGAAGCAAAAUUGGCACCCUGUCAAGACUAGAAGUGCGAUGAUUCCAGAAAACGACGACGCCCAGCCACAGUAGGAACCUUGCGGCUGGACAAUCUAAUAUCACGACAACAAUCAGGUUCCUCCUUCUCUGUCCAACCUGCCCGUUGUUUUACAAUUCCUUUGUUUUUAGGCCCUCAAAAACAAAAAACUUUAGCUUUAUUGGAUUCGGGGGCAUCUACUUGUUUUUUAGAUGAAGAGUUUGCUAAACGCCACAAGAUCCGUUUAGUACAGAAGUCCAAACCUGUUCACGUAGAGGUGAUAGAUGGACGACCCUUAUUGUCAGGCAACGUUACCCACGAAUCAGAACCUAUAAAAGUGGUGUUUAAGGACCAUAGUAGUCACGUUAUUUUUAAUAUUAUUAGAACCCCAUCAAGCCCUGUUAUCCUUGGUCUUUCUUGGUUAGAAGAUCAUAAUCCGUCCAUUGAUUGGAGGCUACGAAGGAUAACAUUUCCUGAAAAAAAUAAUAAUAAACCUGUUGGUAGAACCUACAUGAAGAAAUCCAUGUUUAUUGGAGCGAGAGCGUUCCUAAGAUCGUCCAAGGAAGGUGCACCAUUUGUCAUUUAUGCAGCUCCAACUAGCGGCGAGAAUAUCUCAACAUCGAAUAUACCAGAGCAAUAUAGGGAUUUUGAAGACGUGUUUCAGAAGAAGAACGUCGAUAUACUGCCGGAACAUCGACCAUAUGAUUGCGCCAUAGACUUAGAGGAAGGAGCGCAACCACCUUUUGGUCCAAUAUACAACCUAUCGCAGACGGAGUUGGCAGAAUUGCGGAAGUACAUCGAUGAGAAUCUAGCCAAGAAUUUUAUUCGACAUUCAAAGUCGCCAGCUAUAGCACCAAUCUUAUUCGUGAAGAAAAAGGAUGGCUCACUACGGAUGUGCGUGGACUACCGAGGACUCAACAAGGUGACCAAGAAAAAUCGCUAUCCCUUACCUUUGAUCUCCGGCCUCUUAGAUCAACUUGGACGUGCAAGGAUUUUUACAAAGAUUGAUUUAAGAGGAGCCUACAACCUUGUGCGAAUCAAAGAAGGAGAUGAAUGGAAGACAGCCUUUCGUACAAGGUAUGGCCAUUUUGAGUACAAUGUCAUGCCUUUUGGUCUUACCAAUGCUCCAGCGGUCUUUCAGCAUAUGAUGAACGACAUCUUUCGGGAGUACCUCGAUGACUUUGUUGUCAUCUAUCUGGAUGAUAUUUUGAUAUUUUCCAAGAAUGAAGAAGAACAUGAGAAGCACGUUUGUUUGGUUCUUGAAAAACUACGCGAACGAGGACUCUACGCCAAGUUGGAGAAGUGUCAAUUUCACCAGAAUGAGAUGGAAUUUUUGGGCUUCAUUGCGACUACAGAGGGCUUGAAGAUGGAUCCAAAAAAGGUAGAAGCAAUUAUAACUUGGGAAGUUCCGAAGACGGUUAGAGAUGUUCAGUGUUUUUUUGGAUUUGCUAACUUCUAUCGGAUCUUCAUCAAGAAUUAUUCUCAAGUUGCUGCACCACUCACGCGUCUAACAAGCAAAGACAAGCUCGAAUGGGGAUCACAAGCAGCAAAAGCAUUUCAAGAUCUCAAGACGGCAUUCACUACGGCUCCAAUCUUGGUACACCCUGACUUUGCAAAGGCUUUCUAUUUAGAGACCGAUGCUUCAGAUUUUGCUUUGGGAGCUGUGCUUUCACAGAUAGGCAUAGACAAGAAGCUUCACCCAGUUGCGUUCUAUUCACGAAAGUUCUCUGCUGCUGAGAUCAACUACGAGAUCCACGACAAAGAGUUGCUUGCUAUAGUGGAUGCCUUCCAAGAGUGGCGUCACUUCCUCGAAGGAGCUGCACAUCCAGUGACUGUUUAUACGGACCACAAGAAUUUGGAGUACUUCAUGACAGCUCGAAUUUUGAAUCGUCGUCAAGCUCGAUGGAAUAUGUCUCUAUCACGAUUUGACUUUAUUAUCACCUACCGCCCUAGAAAACAGCAAGGAUUAUCUGACGCAUUAUCGAGGAGAUCGUAUCUUGCGCCAAAGGCUGGAGAAGCAGCGUUUGAUCAACAAUGUACAACAUUGUUGAAACCAGAAAAAUUCAGGAUUUUUGCUACUGUUGCAACUAUCGAUGACGGCUUCCUCAGCGAGGUACGUACUGCGACCAUUGAGGAUUCUAUAGCUCUUGACAUCAAACAACGUGUCGAUAAUGACAAAUUUAAGGUGGAGGGAGAUCUUUUGUAUUUUGAGGAGCGGUUGUAUAUCCCGAAAGGACCAACUUGACUCCGAGUACUUCAAUCUCGCCACGACUUUCCAGCUGCGGGACAUUUUGGAUUCAACAAGACUUUGGAGCUCAUUUCACGAGAUUUUUGGUGGUGCCAAAUGUGGAGAUUGUGAAGGAAUUUGUCCUUUCUUGUGAUGUUUGUUCAAGAUCCAAGAUCCCUCGACAUCGUCCGUAUGGACUUCUCCAGCCAUUGCCUAUUCCGCACCGACCAUGGUCUUCAGUUUCUAUGGACUUCAUUACGGACCUACCGCCAUCGAAUUCAUUUGACAGCAUCUUUGUUGUGGUGGAUCGAUUUACAAAGAUGGCGCAUUUCGUGCCUUGCAAGAAAACAUCGUCAAGUGAAGACACCUCAAGACUCUUUCUUGAUAACAUAUAUCGUUAUCAUGGCCUACCAGAUGAUAUCGUGUCGGAUCGAGGUACUCAGUUUGUAUCCAAGUUUUGGAGGUCUCUCUUUGAGAUAUUGAAGGUGGAUAUUAAGCUCUCUUCGGCUUUUUAUCCUCAAACUGACGGUCAAACGGAGCGGGUGAAUCAAGUUUUGGAGCAAUAUUUACGAUGCAGCAUCAACUAUCAAGAAGAUGAUUGGACUGCAUAUCUACCGCUUGCUGAGUUUGCAUACAACAACACUCUUCAUGCGUCAACUCAACAAACACCAUUCUUCUCCAACUACGGAUACCACCCCAAGCUCGAUUUAUUGAGUUCUUCAGCAAAUAACAACCCAGCAGCUGAAGGAUUUGUGAAGCAACUAUCGGACCUUCAAGCGACGUUGAAGCUUCAAUUGCAAUCUGCCCAAGAGAGUUACAAGGCAUCUGCAGAUAAAUAUCGAAAUGAGGCGCCUACUUUUAAAGUUGGAAGUAAAGUAUGGCUUCUUCGACGGAAUAUCAAGACCAAGCGGCCAUGUGACAAAUUGGACUAUCGGAGAUUAGGGCCAUUUGUUAUCGGGAAGCAGAUCAAUCCGAUGGCAUAUCGUCUGGAGUUACCAGCUACUAUGAAGGUACAUCCAGUCUUUCAUGUGUCUUUGUUGGAACCUUAUCGAGAGUCAGCUUUUCCCCAAAGAGUACAAAGUCCGCCACCAAGUAUCGAAAUUGAAAACCAUGAGGAAUACGAGGUGGAAAAGGUACUAGAUUCACGGCGUAAUAGGAGAAAAUUGGAGUAUUUAGUGCAUUGGAGUGGAUACGACAUCAAUGAACGAACGUGGGAGCGUGCCGAAAAUCUUCCCAAUGCACCAAAAAAGGUACAAGAAUUUCAUCAACGAUAUCCUCAUAAACCUAAGUCGAUUCAACGAUAGCUUCUUGCUGAAGCUUGCUCAUCAAGUAGCAUAAAAAGGGGGGAGGGCACCUCCAAAACCCAUAGUUUGAUAGUGUAGAACUUUGUUAGCAACUAUAGUUUGCUCUCAUCAUUUUAGCCUUUGGACAUGGAUAGUCAAGAUACUACACUUGUUAUGUCAUCUCAAGCGACUAGCUCACGAAGACGACCACGAGAUGAAGAACCGCCUGCACCACGACGACGUCGGAGGAUACCGAGCAACAGAUCGCUAGUAAUUGUAUUUGAGGUCGAGCCUGCCUACGACGGUCAGCCAGAAGGUGUGUUUGGAGGACAGUUUCACAAUGAAGACACAGAAGUCCACGCUUGGUCAGAGGUUGAAGGUGUUGGUCACUACCGUUGGCUCCAAGGGCCGAUGAAUCAUUUGCCUCGCGAACAACAAUUGGAAUUCAUAGCGAAUGUGAUGCGACAGAUUUUCAUUUUCUUGCGUUGGUAUUGACUGAUAACAACAUUGCUUCUCGGAGACCUCGAAGUUAGAAGAGGAGGUGAUGUCAUGGACAUACAUUGGAAGAUUCUUCGAAUAUUCUUCUAGAAUAUUCUCUAAAGAUUCUCUAAAGAUUCUUUUAGAAGAUUCUAGAAGAUUCUUAGAAUAUUCCCUAAAGAUUCUCUUAGAAGGUUCUAAAAUAUUCUUAGAAGGUUCUAGAAUAUUCUGAUAGAUUCUAGGAAGUUGCUCGAGAAGUUUCCUAAUUAGUAGAAGUUGUUGGAGAAGCGUCCUAGUUAGCGGAAGUAGCUCGAGAAGCUUCCUAUUCAGUAGUAUAUAUAGGAGUCGAGGCUGAAGGGUUCUUCAGUCUCGACAACACAUCUCUUGGAGUUCUAGCUCACCUUUCUGGUGUUGUUCUUGUACUCAUCUGUUUAAUCUAGUUCUGCCACUUCUUCUUGAACUUUUUGUUAGAUUUCAAGUCUGUAUUUUAUGUCCGUGACACCUAUAGAACCUCCAAAACGUAUUGACUUUGCAAGAUAUGUAUCUUAACUUCUAAGACAAGUUUUUUAUAUAUACACUAUAUAGUUAGUUUGUUUUAUAAGCUAUCAAUGGAUGGUUAAUUUAUUGAUCAAGUUUCUAACCUAUCAAUCAACUACAAACACAUGUAAAGUCAAAAUAGCAUCUAUGAAGCUUUUAAGAAGCUUCUCUAAAAAAACAUUAUAAAAUAAAUCUAUUUUUAUUUAUUUUUAUUUAAUCAUAUAGAUAAAUAUUAGAAUAUAUAUAUACAUACAUAUAUAUAUAUAUAUAUAUAUAUAUAUAUAUAUAUAUUCAUGAUAUUAUCCUUCCUUCUAGAGACGAGUUCUACAAAGAGCAGUCAUCAUAUAUUGAGCAAAUUCAAGAUGCAACAAAUUAUGUUUGUUACAUAUUCUGAUCUUUGUUUUCUUUGAAGAUGGUUGAUAGGUCCUCUAAACCAUUGAUAGUAUUCCAUACCAAGGUGAAAAGACCACCCCAUUAUUUGAUCAUUUUUGAAACCUUUAUAACUCUUUUCAAAUAAAAUAUUUAAAAUAUUAAGAAAAUUUGUUUUGAUCUUUAAUAAAAUCUCCAAAUUUUGGAAGUCUCUUUGAAGAUUGUGAUAUCAAACAUGUUAUAUCUUACCAUCUAUUCAAAAAAACAUCAAUUUUGAGGAUCUUCAUCUAGAUUACAUCAUCUUGAAGGUUGUGAUAAUUGCAAUGUUUUAUCUGAUAAAUGAAGAAGUGAUAGCUCUUGAGUUGAAUCUAUAAGUUAUUAGUUUUCCAUCUCUUUAGUAUCACAAAUGCACAAAAGUACCAAAUAAAGAUAAAAGAUAGAAUGCUAUCUUUGCUAGAUCUUAUUUUUUUUAUAGCAAAGAUUUGUUAUUUUCUUUCUUGAUUUUGAUAGAUGUCGUUGAUGAAAAACCUCAAUCUUCUUUAUUGCAUUUGAAAAAUUCUUUGUUGGCUCUCAUAUGCAUUCAUUAAUAUCAUAUUUAUGCCAAUGAACAAGAUAUUUUAACAUAUUUUGGUGCGGCCUUAAAUGCAAGACUUUUUUUAUCUCGAAUUCUUGAUUAUUAUUCACUUUUAUAGGAAGAGGUAGUAUUUAUCUUCUUUCCAAGAUAUUCAUUGUCUUAUAUGGUUCAAGAAGAGAUACAUGUAAUAUAGAAUAGAUCUUCAUAGAUUUUAAUAGAUUUAAUUGAUAAGCAAUAGAAUUGAUUUAUUUACUAAUAGAAAAAGAUUCAAGCCUACAAUGGUCCAACUUGAUAUAAAAAUAAGUAACCUUAAUAUUGCAACAAAGUAGAUAUAAUUUGUCACCUACAAUGAAUUAUAGUUGUUCCUUCUAAUACGCAUCUACAUUAAAAAAAAAUUUGUUAUUGAGAUUUUUUUAAUUAUACCUUUAUUAUUGCAUAUAAUUUUAACAAAAAAUUUGUCAAAUCUUUUGCUUCAAAAUUAUCAAAUUUUAAAAAGUCAAAAGUAUCUUAUUAUGGAUGAUAACCAUAAUUGGUAAAAAAAAAAAAAAAUUAUUAUUAAAUAGAAGAAUGAAUUGAAUUAUUGUAUACAAACUUUGCUUAUGGCAAAAAAAUUGCCUAUCAUCUUGAUGAUAAUUGAUAGUAUACAUCAAAUAUUGCUCCAAAACUUGAUUCAUUUAUUUUAUUUAUCCAUCAAUUUGAGAAUAAAAAGUCAAAGAGAGCUUCAUAUCCAUCUUUAGAAAUUUAAAAAGGGUUUUCCAAAACCUUGAUUUAAAUUGAGUCUUUUUAUUUAAUAUAAUAUCUUUUGGCAAUCCAUGAUAGUAAUAGAUGUUGUUGAAAAAAAGCUUAGCUAUAUCUUACUUAUGAUAGAUUUUGUAUAUGAUACAAAAUGUACCAUCUUGAUAAAAUGAUUUACUAUCACAAAUAUAGAAUCAUAUAAACCUAAGAUUAGAAGAUUCAUAAUAAAAUCUAUAGAAACAGAAGACCAUGGUUGUUCUCAAAAAGAUAAUAUUUGAAAAAAUUUAUAAAAUUGAUAAUGUACAGUUUUGAAUUUUGAAAAAAUAUCAUAUGAUUUUACAAAGUAUUUGAUUGUCUUUUAUAUUUGAAGCCAAAAAAUUUUUUAUAUAUUAACUCUAAAGACUUAUUGUAUCUAAAAUAUCUAGUUGUUGGAAAGUCAUGAUGAGCUUGAAUAACAUGUAUUUAUACUUUGUCUUUUGGAAUAUAUAUAAUUGUCCUUCUAAGUAGAAUAAAUUAUUUUUAAACUUCAACUUAAAAGUACUAUGUGAUUUAGAAGAAUUAUUCUUGAUAUUAUAAAUAAGAUGAUCAGAAGACAUAUUUGAUUGAAUUUGCUUGACAAAUAUUGAAUCAAUAGUCAAUGUUGAUUUUAUUACUCAAAGAUGAAAAUUCUCUAGCUUCAAGAAAAUCAUUUUUUAUUAAUCAAAAGCUACAUUUCUUUCUUUUGGUGUAAGAUAAGAACGUCUAGAAAGGACAUUUGAUAAACCUUAUUAUUUUUCAGAUUUAUAGGUGAUUUUGAAAUCAAUUCUUAAUGAAGAUAUACUCCAAUGGGCUUAAAAAUAAUUCAAAAUACAUGCAGACAUGAAGUACUAAAGAUUCUUGUGAUCUAUAUAUAUAAUAAUUAGACAAAAAUUAUCUUCUAAUUAUUAUCUUGAAAUGAAUCUACAAUGACAAGAAUUUCUUUGUUGUGGAUUUUGUAGUUAAUUUUAGCUACUAAAAAAUUUUUAGAAUGAAAAGUAAUUAGGUGGAGCUUAUCAUCUGUUUCAAUUUAUGAUAGAAUAGUACCUAUAGCAAAGUUUGAUGUAUUUUUUUCCAUAAAAAAUAUCCUAAAAAAAUCGAUGCAAUAUAAAAUUACUACAAAAAUAAAUGUUAUUAUUAAGGCUUGAAAAGAUAUUUUUACUUUUUUGCUCUACUUAAGUUUGUCUUUACAUGUUAGAUAUAUAAGAAAAGCUACAAUUUGAGAAUUCUUUUUGAUGAAGAUUUGAUAAUAAUUGGCAAAUCUCAAAAAAUAUUGCAUAUCUUUGACUAUUUUUGGAACCUUAUAAUUUAUAAUAUUUUGGAUCUUUACUGGAUUUAUUAUUAAUCUUUUGUUCAAAAUGAUGUAUCCUAAAAAAUCAACUUGAACAGUGUAGAAUAUACACUUUUCUAUCAUUGUAUAUAAUCUUAGAUGUUUAAGUUUUUGUGAUAUAUGACAAACAUGAAAUUCAUGAUCUUUUGUAUUCUUAGAAUAGAUUAGAAUGUUGUCUAAAUAAUAUAUAAUAAGAUUAUUAAAAAAAUUCACAAAAUAUAUCAUUCAUGAAAUGUUUAAAAGCAGUUGGUAUAUUUAUUAGUGCAAAAGACAUGACAUUAUAUUUGAAAUAUCCAUUCUUAGUUUGAAAAGUAAUCUUCUACUUAUCUCCUUCUUUAAUACAGACUAAAUUGUAUGCUUUUUAUAGAUCUAUUUUAGUAUAGAUCUUUGCAUGAUUGAGUUAAUCAAAAAGUUUUGAAAUCAAAGGUAGGAAAUACCUAUUCUUGAUGGUGAUCUUAUUAAGUCCUUGAUAAUCUAUGUACAUUUGCAAAGAUAUAUUUUUUUCUUUACAAAUAAGAUUAAAUUUUUUGCUAGAGAUUUCAAAUGGUAUAUGAAGUUUUUAGCCAAGUUCUUAUCAAUGUAUUUCUUUUGUGCAACCAACUCAUUUUACAAUAAGUUGUAGAUUGACCCAAAUGGUCGUUAAAUUCUUUCUUGUAGAUCAAUUGAAUAAUCAUAUGAUGGAUGCUUUGAAAGAAUAUCUAUAUUUUUUUUUUAAGAAAUUUCAUGAAAAUCUUGAUACUUACUAAAAAUAUUAUUUAACAUCUUUUCACCAUAAAAAAUGUAUGUGACAUAUAUAGCAAAAGAUGGUCUUUCUUUUACAGCAUGCAUGAAAUUUUUUGCACCUACCACUAAGAGUUUGGAUGUACUAAGCUUAUCUAUUUCUACUUCACCAUCAAAAUUUUGGAUUAAACUGUAAGAAAAAUUGAGAUUACAAAAAAUCCAAUUUAUCUAUGAAUUAUAUUUUUUUAACUAUAAUAAUCUUUAAAUAACUUUAUUAAAAGAAGAUCCUAUGAUAUUAAAUAUUACUACACUAUUAUGAUCUUUAAUUGCUACAUCGAAAGGAACACUCUUAUAAAUAAUGUCUCUAAAAGAUAACAAAUAACUAUCUAUGACUUCUACAUGUAUGGAUCUAGUAUUCUUGACUAAAGAUAUUUCUUAUUUUUUGAUAAAGUCUUUCUCUAUAAAACGCACUAAGGUUCUUGAAUUUAAUAAUGCAAAGACUUUGUGAUUUUUAGGUCGUAAGCAUACAUCUAUUGUAAAAUAAGGUGAGGGAUAUGAAGAGAAAAUAAAACCUUUAUUAGGUAUUGUACAUGAUUACAGUUGUAUGAUUUCUAUUAUAGCUAGAAAAACUUAUUUUUUAACAUAUUAUCUUUUUUAGCAAUUAUGCUUCUUAUUUUGUAAUUGUGUUGCUUCUUUGGAUAAUGUUAAAUACUAUGCUUAGCUUUUCUACAAUAUAAGCACAAAUUCUCUUGACAAUGUCUAGUCUUUUCUUCCUCGGUGAGGAAUUUAAAAUGUACCAUAUUACUUUGCAUUAGUUCCAAUCUUAAUAAAUAAGUUUUAUAAAACUUAGAAGAUGUCCUCAUUACUUGGCUUGUUCUUCUCUAACCAAGUCUUUUUUCUUGAUGCUUUUUAAAUAAUCAAUUAUUGUAUGCAAUGGCUUAAACAAUUAAUUGUUCUAAAGAUUCUACUUUCAGUAUUGUUAAUAACAAAUCUUUAAGGUUAUUCUCCGAUCCAUAUCAAAAUUGAUUGAUGAAGGCUUUGUCAUUCCAAUCCAUAUUGUAAAUAAGGUUUUAGAAUUCAGUAGGAUAUAUUGUGGCUGAUUGUGAACUUUAUUGUAAAGAUAAGAGCUUAGUCUCUCCUAUUUUUUUUCAAUCAUUUUUUCCAAAUCUUUCCAUAAACACUUUAAGAAUGAAUUCAAAUCAUAAAAAAAUUAUGAAUACUUUUUUAACAAAAGUUCAAACCAAGAGAGAACACUUCUUGAUAGAAUUGCACCUAUAAAUUCAACUUGAAUAAAUCCAUCAAAGUAUUAAAAGACAUGCAACUAUAGAUAGAGCUUGACUUAUUGCUAAAAGCCUCAAAUAAAUUUAUCUUGUUCCAUCAAACUUCUCAAGCAUACUAAUCUUUAUCCAUGUUGUAUUUAUAGAAGCAAAACUUCUUGGAUUUAGUUGUGAGGUUGAUUUACUUUCUUCAUUUAAUUGUAUAAUUUUUUGAUGUAGACUUUGUACUUCUUUCAUAGACAUAGGAUUAGUAUUUCUAUAGUUGGUGCUUGUGAUGUGUGAAAUUUCUACUCUGAGAGUAUUAACAACUUCUUAAUGAUCAACAAUAGCUACAAAUCUAUUUUUACUUUUACCAAGUAUAGCAUCCAUGAUAUUUCCUUCCAUUUCAAUUAACUUAACAAAUCCACAAGUCAAAUUAAAAUAAGAUAAUCUACAACCUUUAAUAUUAAAUAAAAAUUUCCAUGAAGAAAGAUAAUUUGCUCUCUUUAAAGAAGAUAUUAGUAUGAAAAAACUAAACAAUUUGUUUAAAUGUAGAUAAUCUGAAAUCUUCAAAACACAACAAUAGAAGUAGAAUAAUCCACUCAAUUCUUAAAUAAAAACAAGAAUAAUGAGUUAGCACUCUUGUCAAAUUGUCAAGGACAUAAAUCUAUAAGAAAGAAAUUCUAAAAACACUCUUAUGUCACUCAAAAAGACUAAAAAAUCACUCAAAUGUGAUAUAAUAUUAAACUAGAAUGGUUAUUGUUAAAGAUAAGAAGACUAGAACGUCUUGAAACAAGACUAAGAACUAGAAAGGUAUUGACAAAAGUGAAGAAGGCUUCAUUCUUGCUUCCAUAUAUACUCUUAACUAAAAGCUAUAUGGCAAUGUUGUAUAUGACCUCCAAUACGUGUAGACUUUGCAAGACACAUAUCUUAACUUAUAAGGAAGUUUUUUUAUUUAUAUGCCACAUAAUUAACUUGUUCCACAAGCUUUUCACACUUGGUUAACUUGUUGACCAAGUUUCUAAUCUACCAAUUAACUACAAAUACAUGUAAAGUCAAAGUAGCAUCUAUGAAGCUUUUAGGAAGUCUUUCUAGAAAAAAUUGUGAAAUAAAUAUACUUUUAUUUAUUUUUAUUUAAUCAUAUAGAUAAAUAUUAGAAUAAAUAUUUAUGUUCGUGAUACAAUAUCAAGAAUAUAUGUCCUUAUGACAAGUUGGAGUAUUGUAGGCUUGGACCUUUUCUUAUUUGUGAACAAGUCAAUCUUGUUGUUUAUUAAUUACAUCUAUCAAAGUCUAUAAAGAUCCAUUCCAUAUUCCACAUGUUUUUUUUUAAGCCAGAUAUAACAAUGAAUAUCUCAAAAAGAAGAAAUCUUAUUCAUUGGAGCAAAUAUGAUAUUAACAAAUGUAUAUAAGAGCUAAUAAAGAAUCUUGUAAAUGCACCAAAGAAAGUUGAGGCUUUUCAUUGACAACAUAUAUAAAUACCAAGAUAAAAAAAAUUUAAAAAAUUAAAAAAAAUACUAUAAAAGAAUAAGACUAUGAAGACAAUAUUUUAUCUUCUACUAUUAUUUGUAGCUUUUGUAUAUUUGUAGCGCUAAGGAAAUGGAGAACUAAGAAUCAGUAAAUUCAACUCAAGAGCUAUUGUUUGCUAACUUAUUAGACAAGAUAUUGCAAUUGCCACAACCUUCAAGAUGACAUAAUCGAGAUAAAGAUCUUUGAAAACAACAUGUCCUUCUUUGAAUAAAUAGAAAAAUACAAUAAGUUUGAUAUCACGACCUUAGAAGAGACUCUUAAUUUUUAGUGAUUUUAUUAGAAGUAAAAACAACUUUUGAUAGUCUUUCUAAUGUUUUAUUUUAAAAGAAUUAAAAAGAAUUUAACAAUGAUUAAAUAAUAGAUUGGUCUUCUUAUUCUUAUAUGAGAUACUUUCAAUGGUUGAAAAGACUUAUCAAUCAUUUUUGAAGAAAAAAAAAAUCACAAUAUAUAACACAUACAAUUUGCUAUAUCUUGAAUUUCUUCAACAUAUGAUGACUGCUCCUCGUAGAACUUGUUCCUAAAAGAGGAGAUAAUUUCAUGGAUAUAUGUAUUUAUUCUAAUAAUUACCUAUAUAAUUAGACAGAAGUAGAUAAAAUAUAUUAAUUUCAUAAUAUCUUCUAGAGAAGCUUUGUUAAAGCUUUAUAGAUGCAAUUUUGACUUUACAUGUGUUUGUAGUUGAUUGAUAGGUUAAAAACUUGGUCAACAAAUUAACCAUGUGUCACAUGUGUUGGUAGCUUGUAGAACAAGUUAACUAUGUGGUGUACAUAAAAAAAACUUCUCUUAUAAAAUACAAUAUAUGUCUUGCAAAGUCAAUACAUGUUAGAGAUCCUAUAGAUUAUUGCCACAUAGCUCUUAGCUAGAUAGUAUAUAUAGAAGCAAGAGUAUAGUCUUCUUUACUCUUGUCAAUAUCUUUCUAAUCUUUGGUCUUAUUUCAAGACUUUUUAGUCUUCUUACCUUUGCCAUUCUUGUUUAAUAUAUUAUCAUCUUUGAAUGAUUAUGUGAUCUUUUCGAUGGACACAAGAGUAUCUUAAUCUUUCAAUUCUUCAAGAUUUAUGUCCUUGAAACCAAAUUUUCAAAUAAGGAUAAUAAGAUAGACUAAGAGAUCAACCAUAACAUGUUUGGAGAUACAUAUUCCUUGUAAUUUACACUCCUUAGAUCUGCAACAACAUUAUGAUCACAUCUUCCACUGAGCUGCUUCAUAGAGUGAAUGACUAAUAAUAAUUUGUUUAUUCUUAAAAAAAAUGCUCAUCUUCUAGAUAGAGAUGUUAUUUAUGGCACUAUUAGCUCUUCUUUUUGCUUCAGUCACAGAAUUGGAAUUGAUGUAAAACCAACCACCUGAAAUGAUUAAUAAAUGAGUAUAAUAAUAAUUCACAAAUAUAUUCUCUACUUAUAGCCCACAUAAUAAGUGCGCCAUACUUAAUUCACAAAUGCUGACAUUUUAAAUAUCCAUAUAUGUAAAUGACUACUAUAAACCAAGGCUUAUAGUGUUUUGUACCAUCAUCCAUGAACAAAUCAUGUGCUGAAAUAACAAAAUAUCUUUUGAAUUGACAUAAAAGCAAGCUCAAUAGAGUUGGUGCAAUUAUCUACACUGCAACAUUUUUUUCAGCCCCUUUUCAAUUACAUCUGCAUAAUACUGCAAGCUUGGGAAUAAGAAAACAUCUUUUAUCUCAACUACAUGUAAAUAAAAUCUGAUACAAUUAAAAUCCAAUUGGUUCACAUAUUUUAUUACAUAUGCUAAAACAAGAAUUUAUAUAAGAAUACUUGCAGAAUGGUUUGUUAUGGUUCUUACAAAAUAUAUUUUGAAUAGAAUACAUGCUUAAUAAACAUGAUAUCAUUUGAAUCUUACAUCCUCCAAAAUAAGAGAACUUACUAUCUUAAAGGUCGAUUAAAUUCAAAUAUAGGAGGUAAAAAAAUAAAUAUAGAACAUACUAUCAAGUGUAUAUAAGGGUAUAUUAGGUUCCUUCUAAACAUAACAAUUUGAAGUAAUGUGUCAAUUACUCAUAGCUUUCACAAGCAAUCGACUAAUUUCUAAUAUACACCAACAAAAUUUAAGCAAAGCAACAAAGCUAAACUAAUCAAUUAUCUCAAAAGUAUUAGACUUAGUUACCAUAGAUGUAAAGCAUUCCACUCUUUGUGAUGAUAUUACCAAAGUGAUACUAUUGCUCAUGGUAAUGAAUAGUACAUAACAACUCUUGAAAGAAGUAGCAAACUUGAGUGGACUCGAGUUACAAAGUAAGCGUAGAGCAAUGAGACUAUCUUGAAAUGAGUCUCUUGUUCCCUUUGAAACAAAUAAUUAGGAUUUUAUUAUGAUGGAUUGUGGUACAUGGAUGUGAUUAUCAUUGUAAUGACAAUGAAGAUUAGGUAAUCAUAAUUGUGAAUAAAUGUAUUUGGUUUUUAUUGGUUAUAGAUCUUAUGAUAAAAAAAUGAAUCUAGAUGUAAUUAUUUUUUUUUAUAAUUGUGAUGAUGGGUGGAUCGCUUGAGUAAAAAUUUGGAUCACUUUGUCAUUUUCUUAAAUAUAUAAAGAAGGUUGCAAAAAACUAUGCCACUCGAUAUAUAAAAGCUUUUGAGAGUAGUCUCUUAUUGACUUCAAGACUUUAGAAAGCUUCAUUUUCUUGUAUUCUCCAAGUUUUUCCGCUCUUGUAUUCUCCACAUUCUCUUUUUCAAUGAAAAUGUGUCUAAGUAUCUUUGUCUUACAUUAAAUUCAAUGAAAAUGUAUCUUAGUAUCUUUGUCUUACAUUAAAUUGUUUUACUUAAUCAACUAGCAAAAACUUAUGCCAUUGGGUAUAAUAAUUUUUGGCCCAACCAAUCAUAUCUUUGUUCAUCUUUACUUCGAUGUUUCCUUGUUCACAUAUUUCCUUAUUCUCAUAUUCCUUGAUUCCUAUAUUCUUUAUAUUUUCCAAGUUUCUUAUAUUUCCUUCUUCACUACCAACUAAAAGACUUUUUUGUCUCUUUGUGUUGUAUCCAAGCUACUUAUAUAAUAGAUAUGUUUGGUUAGAAAUCAAGUUUUUUUUAUUGUUUGCCAAUCUUAUAAUUAUAAAAAAAAAAAAAAAAAAAAAAAAAAAAAAAAGAUUAAAUACACUAUUCCUAUCAAUUUUUAUUAUAGUAUAACUUUCUUUGUUUUAUAGUUAGCUCCUAUAGUUGGGCCAAUUGGAUGAAAUUCCUCUAUGUCUUAUAUCUUUUAUAUUACCUUCUUGUAAUUAUAUUAGAAUAUUAUUUUUCUAAUAUAAAAUAGUUUAUUUUAAAAUUUAGUUUUAUAAUAUUGCAAUCUUAGAAUAUUAUACAUUCUUGUUCAUAUAAUCCCUUUUUAUUAUUUUACAUAUCAAUUACAUAUCAUUAUUUAUUGUUCUUUACAAAAUAUUCUUAUACAUAUAUAAAUAAAUAUAUAAAUAUAUAUAUAUAUAUACACACAUAAUUUAAAUUUGUAAGGUUUCAAUUCCAAAUAUUACAGCACAUGUUGAUUCUUUUUAUCACAUUUUAAGCUCUCAUAAAUCAUGAUAUUUUAGUUUUCUUCAAAUUUAUCCAGAAUACUUCUUCCUAAAAUCAAACAAAAAAACAUAAUACAUUGAUGUACAUAUUUCUGGAAACUAAUAUUGUACAAAAGAUACAACAAACAGGCAGAUAUCACGAGUGUUAGUGGUACAAUGGUGAAUUUUCAUGGCACCUUUGGAGUUGUGUGAAACUUCAAUCAUACCAGUAAGACAUGUUCACAGCAGAUAGACUUCACUAUUGGUAAGUAACUUUUAAGUUGGUACAUGACACAAUGAUCACAAUAAAGGAUGAUCAUUUUUUUUGUGUUCGCAAAACCUAGUGCCGCUUAAGUAACAUAAGAUAAACUAGUUUUUUGUGCUAUCUUAUUCCUACUCUGUCUGCACAAUGCCAACCACUUUUCAAAAGAGCUAGUUAGUGCCCUGCUCUGCUCUGCUCGAAAUAAAAGCCUCGCCCAUGUAAGAAACCACACGUCCAUAUAACAGGGAGUCUCCAGUUUGUUCCACCAAGAGUAUCACUCAAAUUGAUGUUCAAUUUCUUAGAAGACAUUGAUUUCCUCAUAAACCUGUGACCAAUCUCGGUGGAUAAUGUUGCAAACACAAACAGCGUGGUGAUGAAUGCGUCUUCGCGUCUCUCCUGCAAAGAGUCUAUCAAACUCUUCCAUGGUAGAGUGAAUAUUAACUGUGUAAAGGAACUUGAUAUAAGUGAGCAGGUCACUUUGAAUUCAUGCCAUCAUGCCAACAACUUCAACUUCUAAUCGUUGUUCGCACUUCCAAAUCUGCCACCCAUCUACAUUCCCAAACAUUCAGGCGCAGAGGGUCAAUGACCCGAUAAUCGCGCCACGAAACAUGAUACCAUUUGGGAUAGCACCUCUCCAUGUGUCUUACACUUGAGAGACUGUAGUAUUCUGAAGUUUACUUCUUCAUUUUAUCCUGCCUCCUCUUUCGAGCUUUGCUUCCCUGACGCUUAGCCUUCAACUUCUCUUCCGAUUGAUUGGGCUCUGAUUGGGCUUCGGCCUCCUGCUCCUCUAACGGUCCCUCAGAAACAACCACGGAAUAAGCCUCAGUUUUCGUUUGCUCAACUUCCUCGGGCUCAGCAAUGGAUGCCUCAACCUCCUGAGCAGCAGGCUCCUCGACCGAGAGUUCUGUUACAGGUGCAUCAACCUCUCCUUCAAUGGAAUAGGGCUCUAGUGACCCCACAGGCUUCUCUGCAACAGCGUCUUCCACUCCUGGGGCUUCCUUUCCUUCAACAACUGCAAUCCCCUCCACAGUAACAACCCCGUCCAGACUCAAUCCAUAGUAUUCUUUCAUUGAUCUAAAGUCAAGCGAAUCAAGUCCAUACACCGUGUCUCCUUUAAUAUCUCCUGCAUUCAAGUCUAGCAUGUCCACUUGCUCAUGCUCAUNNNNNNNNNNNNNNNNNNNNNNNNNNNNNNNNNNNNNNNNNNNNNNNNNNNNNNNNNNNNNNNNNNNNNNNNNNNNNNNNNNNNNNNNNNNNNNNNNNNNCCGUUACAGCAGUAUUAGAAAACUGCUGAACGACGAGUUUUAAUGGUAAUCCAUGGUCUGACUGUUUAUGUAUUGCUUCAGAAAGCAAACAUUGCAUAGAUACUGAUAGAACCUGACCUGCUUUCUUGUAAGGAGCUUCUUUUUCAUCAACGCCCUUCUCUUCGUUGAUUGGUGCAGAGGAUCGGCCUUCAGGAUGACCAACUUGAGUCUCCUCAACUGCCAUCUUGUAAGUAAAAAUUUCUGGUUCUUCACAAACUGUCGAUUUCUCCGAAGCAGACGAUGCUCCAGCUGAUUCUUCUUCUACUCUAUUGAGCUCCUCAGGUUUAUCUUCUUCUUCUUCAACAGAAUGCUUAUUCUCACUUGGAACUUGAACAGGUUCGUCUGUCGCUUCUUUGAUUGCAUCGGCCUCCUCUGAGCCCUCUCUUUGUCCUUUUACACGGUCAUCAAAAUGGAAGACAUUAUAUUCUGCUACUUCGCCUUCUGCUUCUACGGUGGAGUCAUCUAUAGAGCGCUCAGCAGUGUCAUUUUCUUGGACCGCCUGUUCCUCAUCUUUUUUCUGUACUCCCUCAAAAUCAUUCGAUUCCUCAGGCGAUUCCUGUCCAAUUUCCUCUCGCGUUGUAGUAGAAAGCACCUCUUCAACUUGAUUGUCAAUAUACUUGGAGGAGUCGCACCAUUUUAUGAUACUCGACAGAGAGACAAAGUGGAAGAGGGCAUAAUAAGCAGUGACCCCACAGAGUAGAGGAGCUAAGAAAACUCCACCAAUCAACAUGAAUACUAUGACCAGAGGAGCUAAAAAUGGGAGUAAUAUCAAUACUACCAUGGAUAUUAACCGACGACUCCGCGUUUGCAACGCAAAAUUUGCUCCCUUCUUGGCUUGUGCAUAAAGAUUGUACACACCAUCGUAGCUCUGACUCCACACAUCAUUAUCAUCCGAGCGGGCCAUGACCAUAUUUCUUCGCAAUCUCAGUAAAUAAUCUUCUUCAGGCACUUAUCGUCUACACUCAUUCGCAUGUUAGAGAGCGAGUCCUCCAUACACCUAUAGGUAACAGCUUAAUAAUAAGCGAUUUCGUUGUGACUGGAACUUAAACCAGAAAUCCAUCACCUCUGCCGUAAUAACGUAAAAUUCCCUUGUUCGUUAAGGCCUGCCAGUGCCAUCUUCUCACUUCACAACACGACAUACACAAAAAAUGAAUUCGAUUACACGAAAAAUGGCUAACAAAGAUGAAUUCAAAAGCAUUUGCAUGGAAAAGAAAUUCUGUACCUCCCAUGUUAUCAUCAUCCCUGUAAAAGUAACAUGCAAGCAUACAUCAGCUCACUACUACCAUACUUAACCGGAACAUAAUCACGAGCAACUGAAGCAGUGAUACGGACACAUUCCCAUGUUCUCAAUGGCCAUCCUCCAGAUUACUUACAACCCUGAAAUGAGAGUUUUUUGUGUAGGAACACAUGUCUAUCAUAUAAAAGUAUACAGAGGAAGAGCAAUCCAGGUUCUCUGCAAAGUUGGAAUGUUGCACGGAACAUGACCACGAAGCAGGGCUCAAGUACAAUCAAUCACGCAGCAUUCAUUGACCACAAUACCACAGUACACUCAUUUCGAAAGCACCCAAAGUCACAGCCGAAAAGGACCAAAACUAAACCUUCCUCAGCUCCUCCGCUAAGCCUCAAAAACCCUACGUCGGGACGACGUCUAAACUACUUGAAAAUCACAUAGGACGAAGAGCACCAACAAAAAUAACAAAAAACAAAAAACAAAGAAAAAAAAUGACAAACAGAUAAACCACGCAGUCAGGAUCGUUACCAUUUCCACAAUACAUACACACCUCACCAUCAUGUGACAGCAUUUCAAACGUUGCCAAGAACAAGUUCACGUCCAGCUCCACCACACAACUAAAGUCUGUUCCGAGAAGUCACCCAACAUUCGAACAUGCAACCAAAUGCAAAAAGCUUCUAGACUGCACUCAGUGUCACAGAAACUAUAACACCACAGCAUGCAACACCAAAUGCAAAAAGCUUCUAGACUGCACUCAGUGUCACAGAAACUAUAACACCACAGCAUGGAACAAAUUGCUUGAUACCUGCGUGCCUUAUCCCCCCGAGAAGAAGAAGCAACAACUCUCUCUCUCUCUCACCGAAGCACCAAAUUCCGCAACCCAGAGCUCAAUGCAAAGCCUUCCACCAUGCGAGUGGCGAUGCCUGCAAAUAAGUUGGAAUCCCGGGCCCUGCUGUGGCCGCAUUAGUCGUCAAGUUGGUGAGGAUUGGCGCUUGGAUUAGAGUGCGCGAGAUGGCAACACCGCUCGGCUGGUCCUCACCCCGCCCUCGCUCUUGUGUCGCCUUCUGGGGAAAGUAUCGGUGCCAAGUGGACACCGGGGGUCCCCCCGCUCAUGCUUGAUGGAUGAAUGUCAUUCCACUAGGUCAUGACGGAAGGAUGAACGAUAGUCCCCUAGGUCGUGCUUGCUGGAUGGAUAGAUGAACACUGGUUCCCUAGGUCGUGCUUUUUGGAUGGACGUGGAUUCACUAGGGCCCGUCCUUGUGAAGGCUUGUCCUCUGUUCCAUGCCUGCAUACCAAACAUGAUAUAUUUUAAAACAAAUUCCUCCUUGCAAGUUAAACCUUGCUUGCAUGUGUGACACGUGAAGGUUUCUAAUUAUUCAAGCUAUUCACAAAGGGUCUUGCAAAACCCUUCCUGGUCAAUGUAGACUGGACUUUCGUUUUUGUUGAAUUUGAGUUUGGAAUAUCAUAUGAAAUCUUGAAAGAUGUCCAAUGGAAAAUUUGUUGUGUUUGAAGGAGUUGUGAGAAAAAAGUGAAUGGGUUUUGAAUGUUGUUUGCAAUGUAUAAUACAACUAUAAUACUUUAAAUUUCUAUUGAUUUCAUUUAAAAUCAAUAUUAAACUAAAAUAUUUUAAUAUAUAUAAUAUUAAUAUCAUGCUUUAUUUUUUGGAUUUUGUGUAAAAAAACAAAUCUGCUCAAUAGCUAAUUUGCUAGAAACACUCAUAUUUGAAAUCAAUUAAUAUUGUCCAAAUAAUGACUAAAUUUUGUAUCUUUGUAAUUGUUAAAAGUGACUCCAAUACUAUUUAUCUCACUGUGAGUCUUACAAACAAAUUGACAAUAAAAUAAACAAAAGUGGUUGGAUGAAAUAAAUAAAUAAAUACUGCCCAAGUAGCUUUUGAAUAUAAAUAGAAUUAUUAUCUUUCUUAUUCUCAUCAUAAAUAAAUAAAAUAAAUUCAAAACCUAAUGCUUUGAUGUUCAACAUUUCAAUAAAAAAAUUAUUACUAUUUUCAUGUACACACGAUAUGUAUAAAAACGAUAUGUUUACAUAUAUAUAUAUAUAUAUAUAUAUAUAUAUAAAAUGUUUGGAAGUACAAAUCAAAUCAAACCAUUUACAAAUUUGUAUAUAGGGAUGGAAACUUUGUAAGGGUGACACUUGUGAAUUUUUCAAAACAUUGUUGCUGCUGCUGCCUUGAUUUGGAGUUUUUUCUAACAAACAUUAGAGGGUUUGCUCGAGAACCAGAAAUUGGGCUCGGUUGAGAAAUUCACAUUCCAUGACCUCGGAGAUCGAAAUUCGAAUGGGGAAGGUCUUAUUUGUAGUUGUUGGGUUUGAUUCCUGAGAUUAGGAUAAUACCUUUGUGCUUAGACAAUCGUUCAUCACAGCUUUACUACUGCGAUGAGGCGGACGAUUUGCUGAUGGUUCCUUUCUAGCAAUCAUUUUCACGUUCAUGUCGACAUUACUCUUAUAUUUGUCAGAGUUCGUUCUUUGAGCUCUUUCAUUGAAUAACGUCAAUAUUAUUUUUGAUGAGCGUUCUUCCGCGUCUGACAAAUUCAGGGAACAGGUUAGGGUCCAGGACUUUCUUCAGUGGUGACUAAUCGACGGUAUUGAAUUGUAGCACUUGUUUUUGCCGCUGUUUCGUAUAUUUUGCCUUUUUAUUACAAAGUUAGCUCUGAUUGCAGUGCAGGAUUGAUACUGUUGAGAAUGGUAUGAGACAUGGUACCAGGAUGAUGGUGUUUUUCUAAUUGUUUUUCCUUAUGAGGCAAGCCCUUGAAUACAUGGGUAGAGUCUACAUUCAGAAGCUCACUGACCUUAAUUAUAUUACAGGUUCAUAAAUAACAUCCAGCACGGUGGAAUGAAGAGCGCGAAGUUGAUGUUGGUGGCUUAAGUUCUAGAACCUCCUCUCUUCCAAAUAGUCUGAUAGAAUUCGCCCGGCAUAGGUUUUACAAAACAAGAAUAGGAUGUAGUUGAGAGCUCACUUCCUAGCUGUUUUUAUCUCUACAGUCUUGCAGACUCUUCAGUAACGACUAUUCUUUGCGCUUGCGAAUUCUCCAUUUUGAAUUGGUUGCCUCUGCACAGGUUGCCUUUCCACCGCAAAGCACUACACCGUAACUCACCCCUGGAUCCCAUUUCAUAUGUGUGACCCAAUUGAAGCUUAUGAAGGUGCAUGCAGUCAAUUGUCACACACGUGAACAACACAUGUGCACCAGCUUUUAUUGAAGAUAUGGAAAGGAACUUUUGCAACAGAAACUUUGUUGUAUUCUAUUGAGACCGUUCAGGCAUGCGUUACACCUGUUGUCUCUGUGUCGAUUUCCAAGUUAGAACAGGCAAUUCGUGCCCAGUAAUUAUAUGUUCGGUUUAUUUUGUUUUCAUUCUCUGUGCCGAACUGGCUCGAAGAAUGACGGCACGAGUCGCUGCAGGGAUGAGGCAAUGCAGUUGGGGAGCGAUCAAUGGACAGUGUCCAAUGUCCCACUUCCUGGGAGAGACACGCAAACGAGUAGAGCAAGGCCCAAGUGAGAGAGAUCUUUGGAAGCACCGCGGUGUCCAAGUUUAGCAAUUCGUGACCGGUUAACCGAAAGCAUGAAUGACAUUUCCGCCGUUGAAAUAUAUUUAUCUCGGAUGUGAUUGAACUGGUUUGAAAAUUAGAAUAGAAUAAUGUGUGGGUGGGGCGAAAAAGCCCCAUUCCCGCGGGGAGCUCGGUGCCCGCGCGGACCUAUCCUGAGAGAGCGGCUAUAGCGGAGAAAGGAGCUUGAGGUAUCGAGUGACCGGAGGUGAAGGGUAGCGAUUGCAAAGGAAAACCCACCGCUCCCGCCAGUGCUGUGAUUUUCUGACCACGUUUUUGGAGUUUGGGUGUCUUGUUUAGGGUGUGCCGCUCAUUGCCCGAAGCUGUCUUUGCGGUUUAGGUUUGCAAUCAUGGCAGCUACUUCUGCAUGCGUCGUGUCGUCCGUGGUCGCCGCCAGUACCGCCAACAGCCAUGUUGCCACUGCGACCAGGACCAUCGCUUCCUAUGGGACGUUGCUGUCCACUCGCCGGGCUUCCUUCAAGACCGGCGUCGUGGUUCCGGCCACCGCUCGCAGUGCUGCCUUUCGAACUGGUACGAUUUUGGUUACUCGUGCAUACAACUGAAUUCUGUGCGGCGAAGUCUACAUUUCUGGGUGCAUAUAGCACUUUGAACGCUUUCACUCUGAAAUCCCCAUGAAUCGGAUGUUUGAGGGUAUAGCCUUGAGCUGUGUUGUGUCGGAGUCUGUAGCGGCCUAAUUGUUGUGUGUUUCCUGCCCAAGCCAAGUUUUAUGCUCAGUCUUCUUGAUGCACAGCACAGAUGAGAUAAGUUCUGCCUGUAGUGAUUUUAUUUAUUUAUUUUGUUUUAAUUCGGUUUAGGGAUUCGCUGUACUAUUAUUAUUAUUAUUUUAAAGGAUUUUCUUCCCUAAUGCAGCCCAUUUCUGAAAAUCCACGGGCCUUUUGGAAAGGAGGGGCUCACCGUGAUGCGUUGAUUGUGAAAUAAGAGUUGUCGCCUUUGUUUUGACUAAUUGUUGUCGCCUUGCCUGAUUGAUACGAAUUGUCAUGUUCUGAUUUUUUUUUUUUUUAAGCAGAGCAAUCUGCCAACGAUUGUAUCGCGGCAAGAAUUAGACCUCUCUCUCUCUCUCGCUCGCUCUCUCCCCCCCCUCCCUUACAUAUAUAUAUAUAUAUUCACGAAUGUGGGAUGUGUUAACUCCUCUGUUACUGAUGUUUAGCCUCAUUGCCCUUUCACACUCUGCAUAGUUCCCUCUUGCUAAAUUUGUUGUCAUGUCUCCGUGUUGUGGUUGGCAGAGCCUAAGAAAUAUUUGACAAUUGUUGCCGCGAAGGCAACAAAGGAUCCCGAGACGACGGUUGAAUCAACUGUGGAUGAUACGUCUGCUGCAUUCGAAGACGCACUCAAAAGCGUUCAAGAAGCGGUAAGAGUCCAACACUAGCGCUGAGCUCUAGGUUUAUUGUUAAUGUUCGAUUCAUGUGGCCCAAAUUCUGUUAUUUAAUCAAUUAAGGACGCAUCAUUUCACGUGUAAAAGCCAUCACAAUAGAAUCUUGUGGCUGUUUUAGUUAUGCACGUUUCAUCGGGACGCCCUCAUGUAAUUUAUUGACUUUUGCUUAGGAAUCAAGCUUUGUUACGUCUUGGUUUUCACUGUGACAUUUUGAAAUGACAACAUGAUUACUUUUUCAGUGGGAGAAGACGGACGACAAAGUCGCCAUUGCAGGAUUAGGAUUGGCGGGACUUGUUGCCAUCUGGUCUGCUGCCGGCCUUAUUAACGUAAGCGCAUGUAAAAUAACUAUAGUUUUCUGUUCAUGAGCAUGCCGAUCGAACAUUUAAUUUUCGAGUUCUUUAGAUGGUUUACAAUUGUCUCUGCUCCAAGAUUGUUGCUAAAAAUGAUUUAUUUAUUUAUUUAUUUAUUUAUUAUGAUCAUAAAUACGUUUUCUAACGAGCUGCACUUUAUUUCGACUUGGAUGGUUGCUUUGAGGUCAUUUUUGGAUAGGGAGGUGUUGAGUUGUGAAUUAAUCUUCUAAUGCAUUUUUUUGUAAAUAUGCAGGCGGUUGACAAGCUACCCCUCAUUCCUGACUUUUUUGAAUUCGUUGGAAUUUUGUUCUCUGGGGUAAGUUUCUGCUUCACAUCUGGUAGCAGCUUUGCUAUGAACGAGUUCCGAUUAUUUGGGUCGCUCUGGUUAGACUCAUUAGAAAAUUGUUGAUAUUCGUCAGAUGUUAUAUUCUGCAAGUAAUGAUUCACUAUUGAUAUUCUUGUGUAGUUUGUGGCAAUGUUUAAUGUCACCUGGUCUGAGGUGUGAAUUGGAAACCCAUAUCUAACCUUUUAGUAUUUUUUGCCAGUGGUUUGUGUACCGAUACUUGCUCUUCAAGCCCGACAGGUUUGUUGAUUCCCUAACUCAUCAUCGUUGCUACUUGUAGAUUGUUCUUGUGGUUCCUUUUACUUCAUAUUUGUAGGUCCAGCCUUUCAAGAAUUCAGCUCUCGUGAUCUUUCAUAUCCUUGCGUAACUUUCGCUAGGUCAGUGUUUUGGGGACUUGUUUAAUCAUUUGCUAAUGUGAAUCACUUCGUGCUUUUUCAGGGAAGUGCUGUUCAAGUUCAUUGACGAGACUAUGACAAAGAUUACUGGCCAGUGAGUUUGAGCAGUAUUGUAAAAUUACAUUUUUCUCCCUGUAAUGGAAAUGAGUUGCAGUUUUACUGCACGAGUUGCCUCCUUAGUACUUGCAAAUCUGUUACCAUUAGAUUGGUGUCUUAGGAUACAAGCCUUUCGUUCUUUUCUGGCCAUCAACAUAGUGAAUCGGAAAUCUGUGGAGUUCAAGGUUUAGAACAUUUAUCUGGUUUAACCGCUGGUUACAACUGGCUCAAUGAUCUUCUGAUCGGUGUGCAAAUUUACUUUCUGUUAUUCAUGGGGGCUGGGACUGACACAUAGGGAAAGUGUGUGGAAUAUUGUCAUUUUUCAUUGUGCAUAAACUGUUUUGAUUAAUUAUCUAGUUAUACAUUGUUCUCUUGUCCAUUUGAAAUACAAGUCUAUGUACGGUUCUAUUUUGAAGCUCUAUCGUGGCACCCAAAGCGGUCAUGAACUGUGCCAAAGGCGAACAUGAGAAAGUACUGGCUUUCAGUAUUUUCUUGUUAUUGUCUGCUGCUGCGUCAACUGUUGAUAAAUGUACAAGUGCUCCUUGCAGAGUUACAUGGGCGUGUUGUACAGAUCCUGGUACAACUCUUGAUGCCCAUCACUAAAACAUACCAAUGAUAACAUAAUUAGUCUAUUAGUUUUUAGUUUGUAAUGUAUUAUCUUUGAAAUGUAAAAUUUGGUGUCAUUUAAACAAUUUGCAGUGUUUGAAUUACUUAUGUGCAGCAGAUGAACAUUUCUUUGAAAAAAGUCCUUGAGAAAACAAAUGUGGUACAGUACAAAGCCAAUAUGUAUAUGAUAAGUUGAUUGAUGUGGUAAAUUAAGGCCAGAAAGUUAAAUCAUAGCAUUAAAAAAGAUGAAAUGUUUAGAUCAAAAGUGGGAAAGUAGUGUAUGAAAUUAUGAAAAUAAUAUGAUAGAAGGGAGUAGAUAUUUAUUUAAAGAGGGUAGUUAUUCAAGGAGUGGAGGUAAAAUAUUUCAUGAGCAAAGGAGGACAUUUUAUUGAAGGGUGGAAUAGGUUAAUUUAACUGAAUUGUAUUAAUAGAUAGUUUACUACUUGAAGUUUUUACUUGUCACUUUGUUUAAAGUAAUUUUUAAAACUUAAAAUUAGUUGAUUGAAUUUUCAAAAACGUGUGUUAUUUCUUGCACAUACUUAGAUAAAUAGAUAAAUAAAUAAAUAAAAUUAUAUAUAUAUAUAUAUAUAUUAUGUAAUAAUUGUGUAAUAAUUGAAAAUAUAUAUUGUGUAAUAAUUGAAUAUUUUAUUAUAAUUGUGUGAAUAUUGUGUAAAGAGGUUUAUAUAUAUAUAUUUUAAACUUAUUUAUUUUAUAAUCUUUGUGUAAAUUAAGUUUUGUUUAAUCAUUUACAUAAUUUGUUACUAAUAUAUAUGUGUUUAUAACUUUUUUUUAUAUAUUUAUAUUAAAAAAUUGUAUGCUUUAUAACAUUCUUCAUACAAAAGUAAGGACCACUCUUUCACAAUAACAACUUGCUUGGAAGUUCUAUCUUAGAAAACCUAAUUUCAUGUUGUCUUUGGUCUCUUUGAAGUAUUUUUUUCCUUACUUGUGCUACAACAAUUGGCAAAACAUUUAACCUAGAAUUUUUAUCCCAAAACAAAGUUGGAUGCAACCUUGUAUUAAGUCAAUGUAAUUCUAAUCUACUAUUGUUACAUUCUUUUAAAUAUCUUUUAAAAUAUCAAAUCUAAUCUUCACCUAUUUUUUUAGUACAUAAAAUUUCCAAGUAGAUUCAUUGUUAGCACUCUAUUAUUGGUCUCCAAUUUCACUAAGAAUGUUCCACCCUACUAUUGUCACAAUCUAAAUACUAAAUGAAAAGACAAAGAUAACAAGAAAGAUUUUUAUUUCUUAUCUAUAUACACAAUAAGAUCUAUUGUUGAAAAAAUUUGUAUGACUUAUAGACAAAUGAGAUGCUAAUUAUAUAUUUAAAAUUAUCCAAAUAAAUGUCAAUAAAAAAUUAUUAAUUUUAUAUCUUUAUUUCUUUGUAAAAUAUGAUUUUAUAUUUAAUUAGUUACAAAAUGUAAGCACUUAAAAUAUUAACAUAUUAUUACCAAUAAUUUUCAACAAAAAUGUCAUUGUCAUAUUAUGUAUCAUCUUAUUUGAGAAUGUACCAUACACUUGGUUAACCUUAAACAAAUCUUUAAAAUAAAAUCCCAAAGACAACAUAAAGAUAUCCUAAAGAAAUUCUAAAUAAAUUCUAAAAAAUCAUGAUAAAAUCUUAAAGAUAUCCAAAUCAAAUUACAACUAAAUUCUAACCAAAUCUUAACUAAAUUCUAAUUAUAACAUUAACAAACCGCAAGUAAAUCCUAAAAACUCAAAAAAAAUCCAAAUCAAUCCUAACCAAAUCCUAUAGAAAUUUAAAAUAUAAAUAAUUAUUAAUUAAAAUCCUUGGUGAUAAUCAUACAAAAUAUUUAUUUAAAUUAACUAUAAAUUCUGUUUUCUAUUAAAAAAGACAUAAGUUCCUUCUUAUGCUUCUUUUACCUACUAAUUAAUAUUUAUAGGUUUCUUAAAUAAUAAUACAUAUAGAUGGAAGGCCAAUAUAGACAUUGGUCUCAAUAACUAAACAAUAGUUUUUAUAAUUAAAAAAAAAAAAAAAACUAAUCCAACUAAGCUAAUUGUAUCCAAGACUUAUUAAAACUUUAAUUUUAUGACUUUUUAUCUAAUAAGACUUUUGUAACUUAUAAACCCUUUUAAAUUCUAAUAAAUACUUAUAUAAUCAAAUAGACUUUUUAAUAUUAAUAUUUUAAUAUUUAAAUAACUUAAAAUUAUAUUUUUAAUAAUUCUACUAAUUAAGAUCCAUUAAUAGGACUAAAAUCUAUAAAAAAUAUUACAAAGUGAAAGAUACACCAAAUUUAAAUAUAAUAGGUGGCAAUAUCAUCUAACACAUAUUUUCACUUUAGAUCUAAAAGGAUGUUGUCAAUAAAAAAAUUGUAUCCUUUGUGAGAUAUUUUCUACAUUUGAAAUUGAACUUCAUAUGCAUUCACUAAUAAUGUAACUGUGCCAAUAUGAAAAGUACUUUAGUUGUCCUCACUUUAGUCUCAAAUCAAUUACUUCUUCUACUUCAAAUUUUUCAUGGUUAUCCACUUCAAUAUAAGAUGGUGGUGGCUAUACUUUUCUUGAUAUGCUUGAUUCUUUAUAAGAUUUUAAAAGAGAGUUGUGAAAAACAUGAUGUACCUUCAUAGAUGUUGGUAAAAUAUCCAAUUGUCUUGUUAGUAGUUCAUGAUAUA